This 60978-nucleotide long non-coding RNA is filed under the name Arabidopsis thaliana (thale cress). RNAcentral's name for it is "long non-coding RNA (ATHA_LNC000153)". Lineage: Eukaryota; Viridiplantae; Streptophyta; Magnoliopsida; Brassicales; Brassicaceae. The record is from RNAcentral.
ACACGAGGACUUUCCUGGAGGUCACCCAUCCUAGUACUACUCUCGCCCAAGCACGCUUAACUGCGAAGUUCUGAUGGGAUCUGGUGCAUUAGUGCUGGUAUGAUCGCAUCUGUUACUACAUGCAAUGCAAUCGUAUCUAUUCUUUUUUGAAGAUUUUAUGAUUCAUUUACCGUGGGUCCCACCAGCUAUGUAGGAAUAACCUAUCUUAUUUAUAAAAGCUUUGAUACAUGCAAAAUAUUUGAAAACAAUGUCCGAACAUAUAAUGUUCGCCCCAAAAUAUAGCAAAGACCACAAAAAUGCCAUAAAAAGUACAUUAAGGUCAAAAUUAGGAGUAGGAAAAAAAUCAAUAGGAGAAUUCCAUUUUCCUUCCUUCAUUCAUCGGAGAGCUCUCUUUGGGCAUUCCAAAAAGGUAUCACACGCCAAGUUUGGCCUCACGGUCUAAAAGUUAUAGAGUAUUACAUUUUUAACAAAAAAAAAAGAGAAAAACCGAAAAAAAGAGGGAUGCAACACGAAGACUUUUCUGGAGGUCAUCCAUCCUAGUACUACUCUCGCCCAAGCACAUUUAACUGCGGUGUUCUGAUAGGAUCAAGUGCAUUAGUGCUGGUAUGAUCGCAUCAGUUACUACAUGCAAUGCAAUCAUAUAUAUUCUUUUUUGAAGACUUUAUGAUCCAUUUGCCGUAGGUCCCACCAGCUAUGUAGGAAUACCCUAUCUUGUUUAUAAGAGCUUUGAUAGAUGCAAAAUAUUCAAAAACAAUGUCCGAACAUAUAAUUUUUGUCCCGUAAUAUAGCAAAGAUCACGAAAAGGCCAGAAAAAAUACAUUUCGGUCAAAAUUUGGAGUAGAAAAAAAACCCUUCCUCAUUCAUUGGACAGCUCUCUUUGGGCUUUCCGAAAAGGUAUCACAUGCCAAGUUUGGCCUCACGGUCUAAACCUUAUAGACUCAUACAUUUUUCACAAAAAAAAGAAGAGAAAAACCAAAAAAAAGAGUGAUUAAACACGAGGACUUUCCUGGAGGUCACCCAUCCUAGUACUACUCUCGCCCAAGCACGCUUAACUGCGAAGUUCUGAUGGGAUCUGGUGCAUUAGUGCUGGUAUGAUCGCAUCUGUUACUACAUGCAAUGCAAUCGUAUCUAUUCUUUUUUGAAGAUUUUAUGAUUCAUUUACCGUGGGUCCCACCAGCUAUGUAGGACUAACCUAUCUUAUUUAUAAGAUCUUUGAUACAUGCAAAAUAUUGGAAAACAAUGUCCGAACAUAUAAUGUUCGCCCCAAAAUAUAGCAAAGACCACAAAAAUGCCAUAAAAAAUACAUUAAGGUCAAAAUUUGGAGUAGGAAAAAAAUCAAUAGGAGAAUUCCAUUUUCCUUCCCUCAUUCAUCGGAGAGCUCUCUUUGGGCAUUCCAAAAAGGUAUCACAUGCCAAGUUUGGCCUCACGGUCUAAAAGUUAUAGAGUAUUACAUUUUUAACAAAAAAAANNNNNNNNNNNNNNNNNNNNNNNNNNNNNNNNNNNNNNNNNNNNNNNNNNAAAAAAAAGAGUGAUUAAACACGAGGACUUUCCUGGAGGUCACCCAUCCUAGUACUACUCUCGCCCAAGCACGCUUAACUGCGAAGUUCUGAUGGGAUCUGGUGCAUUAGUGCUGGUAUGAUCGCAUCUGUUACUACAUGCAAUGAAAUCGUAUCUAUUCUUUUUUGAAGAUUUUAUGAUUCAUUUACCGUGGGUCCCACCAGCUAUGUAGGAAUAACCUAUCUCGUUUAUAAGAGCUUUGAUACAUGCAAAAUAUUCGAAAACAAUGUCCGAACAUAUAAUGUUUGCCCCAAAAUAUAGAAAAGACCACGAAAAUGCCAUAAAAAGUACAUUAAGGUCAAAAUUUGGAGUAGGAAAAAAAAUCAAUAGGAGAAUUCCAUUUUCCUUCCUCAUUCAUCGGAGAGCUCUCUUUGGGCAUUCCAUAAAGGUAUCACAUGCCAAGUUUGGCCUCACGGUCUAAAAGUUAUAGAGUAAUACAUUUUUAACAAAAAAAAAAGAGAAAAACCGAAAAAAAGAGGGAUGCAACACGAAGACUUUUCUGGAGGUCACCCAUCCUAGUACUACUCUCCCACAAGCACGCUUAACUGUGGUGUUCUGAUAGGAUCAAGUGCAUUAGUGCUGGUAUGAUCGCAUCAGUUACUACAUGUAAUGCAAUCAUAUAUAUUCUUUUUUGAAGACUUUAUGAUCCAUUUGCCGUAGGUCCCACCAGUUAUGUAGGAAUACCCUAUCUCGUUUAUAAGAGCUUUGAUACAUGCAAAAUAUUCGAAAACAAUGUCCGAACAUAUAAUGUUUGCCCCAAAAUAUAGCAAAGACCACGAAAAUGCCAUAAAAAGUACAUUAAGGUCAAAAUUUGGAGUAGGAAAAAAAAUCAAUAGGAGAAUUCCAUUUUCCUUCCUCAUUCAUGGGAGAGCUCUCUUUGGGCAUUCCAAAAAGGUAUCACAUGCCAAGUUUGGCCUCACGGCCUAAAAGUUAUAGAGUAAUACAUUUUUAACAAAAAAAAAAGAGAAAAACCGAAAAAAAGAGGGAUGCAACACGAAGACUUUUCUGGAGGUCACCCAUCCUAGUACUACUCUCCCCCAAGCACGCUUAACUGUGGUGUUCUGAUAGGAUCAAGUGCAUUAGUGCUGGUAUGAUCGCAUCAGUUACUACAUGCAAUGCAAUCAUAUAUAUUCUUUUUUGAAGACUUUAUGAUCCAUUUGCCGUAGGUCCCACCAGCUAUGUAGGAAUACCCUAUCUUGUUUAUAAGAGCUUUGAUACAUGCAAAAUAUUCGAAAACAAUGUCCGAACAUAUAAUUUUUGUCCCGUAAUAUAGCAAAGAUCACGAAAAGGCCAGGAAAAAUACAUUUCGGUCAAAAUUUGGAGUAGAAAAAAAACCCUUCCUCAUUCAUUGGACAGCUCUCUUUGGGCUUUCCGAAAAGGUAUCACAUGCCAAGUUUGGCCUCACGGUCUAAACCUUAUAGACUCAUACAUUUUUCACAAAAAAAAGAAGAGAAAAACCAAAAAAAAGAGUGAUUAAACACGAGGACUUUCCUGGAGGUCACCCAUCCUAGUACUACUCUCGCCCAAGCACGCUUAACUGCGAAGUUCUGAUGGGAUCUGGUGCAUUAGUGCUGGUAUGAUCGCAUCUGUUACUACAUGCAAUGCAAUCGUAUCUAUUCUUUUUUGAAGAUUUUAUGAUUCAUUUACCGUGGGUCCCACCAGCUAUGUAGGACUAACCUAUCUUAUUUAUAAGAUCUUUGAUACAUGCAAAAUAUUGGAAAACAAUGUCCGAACAUAUAAUGUUCGCCCCAAAAUAUAGCAAAGACCACAAAAAUGCCAUAAAAAAUACAUUAAGGUCAAAAUUUGGAGUAGGAAAAAAAUCAAUAGGAGAAUUCCAUUUUCCUUCCCUCAUUCAUCGGAGAGCUCUCUUUGGGCAUUCCAAAAAGGUAUCACAUGCCAAGUUUGGCCUCACGGUCUAAAAGUUAUAGAGUAUUACAUUUUUAACAAAAAAAAACGAGAAAAACCGAUAAAAAGAGGGAUGCAACACCAAGACUUUUCUGGAGGUCACCCAUCCUAGUACUACUCUCCCCCAAGCACGCUUAACUGUGGUGUUCUGAUAGGAUCAAGUGCAUUAGUGCUGGUAUGAUCGCAUCAGUUACUACAUGCAAUGCAAUCAUAUAUAUUCUUUUUUGAAGACUUUAUGAUCCAUUUGCCGUAGGUCCCACCAGCUAUGUAGGAAUACCCUUUCUUGUUUAUAAGAGCUUUGAUACAUGCAAAAUAUUCGAAAACAAUGUCCGAACAUAUAAUUUUUGUCCCGUAAUAUAGCAAACAUCACGAAAAGGCCAGAAAAAAUACAUUUCGGUCAAAAUUUGGAGUAGAAAAAAAACCCUUCCUCAUUCAUUGGACAGCUCUCUUUGGGCUUUCCAAAAAGGUAUCACAUGCCAAGUUUGGCCUCACGGUCUAAACCUUAUAGACUCAUACAUUUUUCACAAAAAAAAGAAGAGAAAAACCAAAAAAAAGAGUGAUUAAACACGAGGACUUUCUUGGAGGUCACCCAUCCUAGUACUACUCUCGCCCAAGCACGCUUAACUGCGAAGUUCUGAUGGGAUCUGGUGCAUUAGUGCUGGUAUGAUCGCAUCUGUUACUACAUGCAAUGAAAUCGUAUCUAUUCUUUUUUGAAGAUUUUAUGAUUCAUUUACCGUGGGUCCCACCAGCUAUGUAGAAAUAACCUAUCUUAUUUAUAAGAGCUUUGAUACAUGUAAAAUAUUCGAAAACAAUGUCCGAACAUAUAAUGUUCGCCCCAAAAUAUAGCAAAGACCACAAAAAUGCCAUAAAAAGUACAUUAAGGUCAAAAUUUGGAGUAGGAAAAAAAUCAAUAAGAGAAUUCCAUUUUCCUUCCCUCAUUCAUCGGAGAUCUCUCUUUGGGCAUUCCAAAAAGGUAUCACAUGCCAAGUUUGGCCUCACGGUCUAAACGUUAUAGAGUAAUACAUUUUUAACAAAAAAAAAAGAGAAAAACCGAAAAAAAGAGGGAUGCAACACGAAGACUUUUCUGGAGGUCACCCAUCCUAGUACUACUCUCCCCCAAGCACGCUUAACUGUGGUGUUCUGAUAGGAUCAAGUGCAUUAGUGCUGGUAUGAUCGCAUCAGUUACUACAUGCAAUGCAAUCAUAUAUAUUCUUUUUUGAAGACUUUAUGAUCCAUUUGCCGUAGGUCCCACCAGCUAUGUAGGAAUACCCUUUCUUGUUUAUAAGAGCUUUGAUACAUGCAAAAUAUUCGAAAACAAUGUCCGAACAUAUUAUUUUUGUCCCGUAAUAUAGCAAAGAUCACGAAAAGGCCAGGAAAAAUACAUUUCGGUCAAAAUUUGGAGUAGAAAAAAAACCCUUCCUCAUUCAUUCGACAGCUCUCUUUGAGCUUUCCGAAAAGGUAUCACAUGCCAAGUUUGGCCUCACGGUCUAAACCUUAUAGACUCAUACAUUUUUCACAAAAAAAAAGAAGAGAAAAACCAAAAAAUAGAGUGAUUAAACGCGAGGACUUUCCUGGAGGUCACCCAUCCUAGUACUACUCUCGCCCAAGCACGCUUAACUGCGAAGUUCUGAUGGGAUCUGGUGCAUUAGUGCUGGUAUGAUCGCAUCUGUUACUACAUGCAAUGAAAUCGUAUCUAUUCUUUUUUGAUGAUUUUAUGAUUCAUUUACCGUGGGUCCCAGCAGCUAUGUAGGAAUAACCCAUCCUUGUUUAUAAGAGCUUUCAUACAUGCAAAAUAUUCAAAAACAAUGUCCGAACAUAUAAUUUUUGUCCGGUAAUAUUGCAAAGAUCACGAAAAGGCCAGAAAAAAUACAUUUCGGUCAAAAUUUGGAGUAGAAAAAAAACCCUUCCUCAUUCAUUGGACAGCUCUCUUUGGGUUUUCCGAAAAGGUAUCACAUGCCAAGUUUGGCCUCACGGUCUAAACCUUAUAGACUCAUACAUUUUUCACAAAAAAAAGAAGAGAAAAACCAAAAAAAAGAGUGAUUAAACACGAGGACUUUCCUGGAGGUCACCCAUCCUAGUACUACUCUCGCCCAAGCACGCUUAACUGCGAAGUUCUGAUGGGAUCUGGUGCAUUAGUGCUGGUAUGAUCGCAUCUGUUACUACAUGCAAUGCAAUCAUAUCUAUUCUUUUUUGAAGAUUUUAUGAUUCAUUUACCGUGGGUCCCACCAGCUAUGUAGGAAUAACCUAUCUUAUUUAUAAAAGCUUUGAUACAUGCAAAAUAUUCGAAAACAAUGUCCGAACAUAUAAUGUUCGCCCCAAAAUAUAGCAAAGACCACAAAAAUGCCAUAAAAAGUACAUUAAGGUCAAAAUUUGGAGUAGGAAAAAAAUCAAUAGGAGAAUUCCAUUUUCCUUCCCUCAUUCAUCGGAGAGCUCUCUUUGGGCAUUCCAAAAAGGUAUCACAUGCCAAGUUUGGCCUUACGGUCUAAAAGUUAUAGAGUAAUACAUUUUUAACAAAAAAAAAAGAAAAAAACCGAAAACAAAGAGGGAUGCAACACGAAGACUUUCCUGGAGGUCACCCAUCCUAGUACUACUCUCGCCCAAGCACACUUAACUGCGGUGUUCUGAUAGGAUCAAGUGCAUUAGUGCUGGUAUGAUCGCAUCAGUUACUACAUGCAAUGCAAUCAUAUAUAUUCUUUUUUGAAGACUUUAUGAUCCAUUUGCCGUAGGUCCCACCAGCUAUGUAGGAAUACCCUAUCUCGUUUAUAAGAGCUUUGAUACAUGCAAAAUAUUCGAAAACAAUGUCCGAACAUAUAAUUUUUGUCCCGUAAUAUAGCAAAGAUCACGAAAAGGCCAGAAAAAAUACAUUUCGGUCAAAAUUUGGAGUAGAAAAAAAACCCUUCCUCAUUCAUUGGACAGCUCUUUUUGGGCUUUCCGAAAAGGUAUCACAUGCCAAGUUUGGCCUCACGGUCUAAACCUUAUAGACUCAUACAUUUUUCACAAAAAAAAGAAGAGAAAAACCAAAAAAAAGAGUGAUUAAACACGAGGACUUUCCUGGAGGUCACCCAUCCUAGUACUACUCUCGCCCAAGCACGCUUAACUGCGAAGUUCUGAUGGGAUCUGGUGCAUUAGUGCUGGUAUGAUCGCAUCUGUUACUACAUGCAAUGCAAUCGUAUCUAUUCUUUUUUGAAGAUUUUAUGAUUCAUUUACCGUGGGUCCCACCAGNNNNNNNNNNNNNNNNNNNNNNNNNNNNNNNNNNNNNNNNNNNNNNNNNNUCACGGUUUAAAAGUUAUAGAGUCAUACAUUUUUCCCAAAAAAACCAAGAGAAAACCAAAAAAAAAGAGUGAUGAAACACGAGGACUUUCCUGGAGGUCACCCAUCCUAGUACUACUCUCGCCCAAGCACGCUUAACUGCGAAGUUCUGAUGGGAUCUGGUGCAUUAGUGCUGGUAUGAUCGCAUCAGUUACUACAUGCAAUGCAAUCGUAUAUAUUCUUUUUUGAAGACUUUAUGAUCCAUUUGUCGUAGGUCCCACCAGUUAUGUAGGAAUACCCUAUCUCGUUUAUAAGAGCUUUGAUACAUGCAAAAUAUUCGAAAACAAUGUCCGAACAUAUAAUGUUUGCCCCAAAAUAUAGCAAAGACCACGAAAAUGCCAUAAAAAGUACAUUAAGGUCAAAAUUUGGAGUAGGAAAAAAAUCAAUAGGAGAAUUCCAUUUUCCUUCCUCAUUCAUUGGAGAGCUCUCUUUGGGCAUUCCAAAAAGGUAUCACAUGGCAAGUUUGGCCUCACGGUCUAAAAGUUAUAGAGUAAUACAUUUUUAACAAAAAAAAAAGAGAAAAACCGAAAAAAAGAGGGAUGCAACACGAAGACUUUUCUGGAGGUCACCCAUCCUAGUACUACUCUCCCCCAAGCACGCUUAACUGUGGUGUUCUGAUAGGAUCAAGUGCAUUAGUGCUGGUAUGAUCGCAUCAGUUACUACAUGCAAUGCAAUCAUAUAUAUUCUUUUUUGAAGACGUUAUGAUCCAUUUGCCGUAGGUCCCACCAGCUAUGUAGGAACACCCUAUCUUGUUUAUAAGAGCUUUGAUACAUGCAAAAUAUUCGAAAACAAUGUCCGAACAUAUAAUUUUUGUCCCGUAAUAUAGCAAAGAUCACGAAAAGGCCAGAAAAAAUACAUUUCGGUCAAAAUUUGGAGUAGAAAAAAAACCCUUCCUCAUUCAUUGGACAGCUCUCUUUGGGCUUUCCGAAAAGGUAUCACAUGCCAAGUUUGGCCUCACGGUCUAAAAGUUAUAGAGUCAUACAUUUUUCACAAAAAAAACAAGAGAAAAACAAAAAAAAAGAGUGAUGAAACACGAGGACUUUCCUGGAGGUCACCCAUCCUAGUACUACUCUCGCCCAAGCACGCUUAACUGCGAAGUUCUGAUGGGAUCUGGUGCAUUAGUGCUGGUAUGAUCGCAUCUGUUACUACAUGCAAUGCAAUCGUAUAUAUUCUUUUUUGAAGACUUUAUGAUCCAUUUGUCGUAGGUCCCACCAGUUAUGUAGGAAUACCCUAUCUCGUUUAUAAGAGCUUUGAUACAUGCAAAAUAUUCGAAAACAAUGUCCGAACAUAUAAUGUUUGCCCCAAAAUAUAGCAAAGACCACGAAAAUGCCAUAAAAAGUACAUUAAGGUCAAAAUUUGGAGUAGGAAAAAAAAUCAAUAGGAGAAUUCCAUUUUCCUUCCUCAUUCAUUGGAGAGCUCUCUUUGGGCAUUCCAAAAAGGUAUCACAUGCCAAGUUUGGCCUCACGGUCUAAAAGUUAUAGAGUAAUACAUUUUUAACAAAAAAAAAAGAGAAAAACCGAAAAAAAGAGGGAUGCAACACGAAGACUUUUCUGGAGGUCACCCAUCCUAGUACUACUCUCCCCCAAGCACGCUUAACUGUGGUGUUCUGAUAGGAUCAAGUGCAUUAGUGCUGGUAUGAUCGCAUCAGUUACUACAUGCAAUGCAAUCAUAUAUAUUCUUUUUUGAAGACUUUAUGAUCCAUUGUCGUAGGUCCCACCAGCUAUGUAGGAAUACCCUUUCUUGUUUAUAAGAGCUUUGAUACAUGGAAAAUAUUCGAAAACAAUGUCCGAACAUAUAAUUUUUGUCCCGUAAUAUAGCAAAGAUCACGAAAAGGCCAGAAAAAAUACAUUUCGGUCAAAAUUUGGAGUAGAAAAAAAGCCCUUCCUCAUUCAUUGGACAGCUCUCUUUGGGCUUUCCGAAAAGGUAUCACAUGCCAAGUUUGGCCUCACGGUCUAAACCUUAUAGACUCAUACAUUUUUCACAAAAAAAAGAAGAGAAAAGCCAAAAAAAAAGAGUGAUUAAACACGAGGACUUUCCUGGAGGUCACCCAUCCUAGUACUACUCUCGCCCAAGCACGCUUAACUGCGAAGUUCUGAUGGGAUCUGGUGCAUUAGUGCUGGUAUGAUCGCAUCUGUUACUACAUGCAAUGAAAUCGUAUCUAUUCUUUUUUGAAGAUUUUAUGAUUCAUUUACCGUGGGUCCCACCAGCUAUGUAGGAAUAACCUAUCUUAUUUAUAAGAUCUUUGAUACAUGCAAAAUAUUGGAAAACAAUGUCCGAACAUAUAAUGUUCGCCCCAAAAUAUAGCAAAGACCACAAAAAUGCCAUAAAAAGUACAUUAAGGUCAAAAUUUGGAGUAGGAAAAAAACCAAUAAGAGAAUUCCAUUUUCCUUCCCUCAUUCAUCGGAGAUCUCUCUUUGGGCAUUCCAAAAAGGUAUCACAUGCCAAGUUUGGCCUCACGGUCUAAAAGUUAUAGAGUAAUACAUUUUUAACAAAAAAAAAAAGAGAAAAACCGAAAAAAAGAGGGAUGCAACACGAAGACUUUUCUGGAGGUCACCCAUCCUAGUACUACUCUCCCCCAAGCACGCUUAACUGUGGUGUUCUGAUAGGAUCAAGUGCAUUAGUGCUGGUAUGAUCGCAUCAGUUACUACAUGUAAUGCAAUCAUAUAUAUUCUUUUUUGAAGACUUUAUGAUCCAUGUGCCGUAGGUCCCACCAGCUAUGUAGGAAUACCCUAUCUCAUUUAUAAGAGCUUUGAUACAUGCAAAAUAUUCGAAAACAAUGUCCGAACAUAUAAUGUUUGCCCCAAAAUAUAGCAAAGACCACGAAAAUGCCAUAAAAAGUACAUUAAGGUCAAAAUUUGGAGUAGGAAAAAAAAUCAAUAGGAGAAUUCCAUUUUCCUUCCUCAUUCAUUGGAGAGCUCUCUUUGGGCAUUCCAAAAAGGUAUCACAUGGCAAGUUUGGCCUCACGGUCUAAAAGUUAUAGAGUAAUACAUUUUUAACAAAAAAAAAAGAGAAAAACCGAAAAAAAGAGGGAUGCAACACGAAGACUUUUCUGGAGGUCACCCAUCCUAGUACUACUCUCCCCCAAGCACGCUUAACUGUGGUGUUCUGAUAGGAUCAAGUGCAUUAGUGCUGGUAUGAUCGCAUCAGUUACUACAUGCAAUGCAAUCAUAUAUAUUCUUUUUUGAAGACGUUAUGAUCCAUUUGCCGUAGGUCCCACCAGCUAUGUAGGAACACCCUAUCUUGUUUAUAAGAGCUUUGAUACAUGCAAAAUAUUCGAAAACAAUGUCCGAACAUAUAAUUUUUGUCCCGUAAUAUAGCAAAGAUCACGAAAAGGCCAGAAAAAAUACAUUUCGGUCAAAAUUUGGAGUAGAAAAAAAACCCUUCCUCAUUCAUUGGACAGCUCUCUUUGGGCUUUCCGAAAAGGUAUCACAUGCCAAGUUUGGCCUCACGGUCUAAAAGUUAUAGAGUCAUACAUUUUUCACAAAAAAAACAAGAGAAAAACAAAAAAAAAGAGUGAUGAAACACGAGGACUUUCCUGGAGGUCACCCAUCCUAGUACUACUCUCGCCCAAGCACGCUUAACUGCGAAGUUCUGAUGGGAUCUGGUGCAUUAGUGCUGGUAUGAUCGCAUCUGUUACUACAUGCAAUGCAAUCGNNNNNNNNNNNNNNNNNNNNNNNNNNNNNNNNNNNNNNNNNNNNNNNNNNUAUGAUCGCAUGUGUUACUACAUGCAAUGUAAUCGUAUCUAUUCUUUUUUAAAGACUUUAUGAUCCAUUUGCCGUGAGUCCCACCAGCUAUGUAGGAAUAUUCUAUCUUCUUUAUAAGAGCUUUGAUACAUGCAAAAUACNUGGAAAACAAUGUCCGAACAUAUAAUUUUCCCCCCGUAAUAUAGCANAGAUCACGAAAAGGCCCGAAAAAGUACAUUUAGUUCANAAUUUGGAGUAGAAAAAAAAACAAUAGAAGAAUUCCAUUUUCCUUCCUCAAUCAUCGGAGAGCUCUCUUUGGGCUUUCCGAAAAGGUAUCUCAUGCCAAGUUUGGCCUCACGAACUAAAAGUUAUAGAGUCAUACAUUUUUAACAAAACAAAAUAGAGAAAAACCGAAAAAAGAGGGAUGCAACACAAGGACUUUCCGGGAGGUCACCCAUCCUAGUACUACUCUCGCCCAAGCACCCUUAACUGCGGAGUUCUGAUGGGAUCCGGUGCAUUAGUGCUGGUAUGAUCGCCCGUGUUACUACAUGCAAUGCAAUCGUAUCUAUUCUUUUUUAAAGAUUUUAUGAUCCAUUUGCCGUGGGUCCCACCAGCUAUGUAGGAAUACCCUAUCUUCUUUAUAAGAGGUUUGAUACAUACAAAAUAUUGGAUCACAAUGUCAGAACAUAUAAUUUUCCCCCCUUAAUAUAGCAAAGAUCACUAAAAGGCCCGAAAAAAUACAUUUAGUUCAAAAUUUGGAGUAGAAAAAAAAACAAUAGAAGAAUUCCAUUUUCCUUCCUCAGUUAUCGGAGAACUCUCUUUGGGCUUUCCGAAAAGGUAUCACAUGCCAAGUUUGGCCUCACGGUCUAAAAGAUAUAGAGUCAUACAUUAUUAACAAAACAAAAUAGAGAAAAACCGAAAAAAAGAAGGAUGCAACACGAGGACUUUGCGGGAGGUAAUCUAUCCUAGUACUACUCUCGCCCAAGCACCCUUAACUGCGGAGUUCUGAUGGGAUCCGGUGCAUUAGUGCUGGUAUGAUCGCAUGUGUUACUACAUGCAAUGUAAUCGUAUCUAUUCUUUUUUAAAGACUUUAUGAUCCAUUUGCCGUGGGUCCCACCAGCUAUGUAGGAAUACUCUAUCUACUUUAUAAGAGCUUUGAUACAUGCAGAAUAUUGGAAAACAACGUCCGAACAUAUAAUUUCCCCCCCCCCCCCCGUAAUAUAGCAAAAAUCACGAAAAGGCCCGAAAAAGUACAUUUAGUUCAAAAUUUGGAGUAGAAAAAAAAACAAUAGAAGAAUUUCAUUUUCCUUCCUCAGUCAUCGGAGAGCUCUCUUUGGGCUUUCCAAAAAGGUAUCACAUGCCAAGUUUGGCCUCACAGUCUAAAAGUUAUAGAGUCAUACAUUUUUAACAAAACAAAAUAGAGAAAAACCGAAAAAAAGAGGGAUGCAACACGAGGACUUUCCGGGAGGUAAUCUAUCCUAGUACUACUCUCGCCCAAGCACCCUUAACUGCGGAGUUCUGAUGGGAUCCGGUGCAGUAGUGCUGGUAUGAUUGCAUGUGUUACUACAUGCAAUGUAAUCGUAUCUAUUCUUUUUUAAAGACUUUAUGAUCCAUUUGCCGUGAGUCCCACCAGCUAUGUAGGAAUAUUCUAUCUUCUUUAUAAGAGCUUUGAUACAUGCAAAAUACUGGAAAACAGUGUCCGAACAUAUAAUUUUCCCCCCGUAAUAUAGCAAAGAUCACGAAAAGGCCCGAAAAAGUACAUUUAGUUCAAAAUUUGGAGUAGAAAAAAAAACAAUAGAAGAAUUCCAUUUUCCUUCCUCAAUCAUCGGAGAGCUCUCUUUGGGCUUUCCGAAAAGGUAUCUCAUGCCAAGUUUGGCCUCACGAACUAAAAGUUAUAGAGUCAUACAUUUUUAACAAAACAAAAUAGAGAAAAACCGAAAAAAGAGGGAUGCAACACAAGGACUUUCCAGGAGGUCACCCAUCCUAGUACUACUCUCGCCCAAGCACCCUUAACUGCGGAGUUCUGAUGGGAUCCGGUGCAUUAGUGCUGGUAUGAUCGCAUGUGUUACUACAUGCAAUGUAAUCGUAUCUAUUCUUUUUUAAAGAUUUUAUGAUCCAUUUGCCGUGGGUCCCACCAGCUAUGUAGGAAUACCCUAUCUUCUUUAUAAGAGCUUUGAUACAUACAAAAUAUUGGAUCACAAUGUCAGAACAUAUAAUUUUCCCCCCUUAAUAUAGCAAAGAUCACUAAAAGGCCCGAAAAAAUACAUUUAGUUCAAAAUUUGGAGUAGAAAAAAAAACAAUAAAAGAAUUCCAUUUUCCUUCCUCAGUUAUCGGAGAACUCUCUUUGGGCUUUCCGAAAAGGUAUCACAUGCCAAGUUUGGCCUCACGGUCUAAAAGAUAUAGAGUCAUACAUUAUUAACAAAACAAAAUAGAGAAAAACCGAAAAAAAUAGGGAUGCAACACGAGGACUAUCCUGGAGGUCACCCAUCCUAGUACUAAUCUCGCCCAACCACCCUUAACUGCGUAGUUCUGAUGGGAUCCGAUGCAUUAGUGCUGGUAUGAUCGCAUUUGUUACUAUAUGCAAUAUAAUCGUAUCUAUUCUUUUUUAAAGACUUUAUGAUCCAUUUGCCGUGGGUCCCACCAGCUAUGUAGGAUACCCUAUCUUCAUAAUAAGAGCUUUGAUAAAUGCAAAAUAUUGGAAAACAAUGUCCGAACAUAUAAUUUCCCCCCCCCCCCCCGGUAAUAUAGCAAAGAUCACGAAAUAGCCCAAAAAAGUACAUUUAGGUCAAAAUUUGAGUAGAAAAAAAACAAAUAGAGGAAUUCCAUUUUCCGUCCUCAUUCAUCGGAGAGCUCUCUUUCGGCUUUCCGAAAAGGUAUCACAUGCCAAGUUUGGCCUCACGGUCUAAAAGUUAUAGAGUCAUACAUUUUAAACAAAACAAAAUAGAGAAAAACCGAAAAAAAGAAGGAUGCAACACGAGGACUUUCCGGGAGGUCACCCAUCCUAGUACUACUCUCGCCCAAGCACCCUUAACUGCGGAGUUCUGAUGGGAUCAGGUGCAUUAGUGCUGGUAUGAUCGCAUGUGGUACUACAUGCAAUGUAAUCGUAUAUAUUCUUUUUUAAAGACUUUAUGAUCCAUUUGCCGUGGGUCCCACCAGCUAUGUAGGAAUACCCUAUCUUCUUUAUAAGAGCUUUGAUACAUGCAAAAUAUUUGAAAACAAUGUCCGAACAUAUAAUUUUCCCCCCGUUAUAUAGCAAAGAUCACGAAAAGGCCCGAAAAAGUACAUUUAGUUCAAAAUUUGGAGUAGAAAAAAAGACAAUAGAAGAAUUUCAUUUUCCUUCCUCAGUAAUCGGAGAGCUCUCUUUGGGCUUUCCGAAAAGGUAUCACAUGCCAAGUUUGGCUUCACGGUAUAAAAGUUAUAGAGUCAUACAUUUUUAACAAAAAAAAACUAGAAAAACAGAAAAAAAGAGGGAUGCAAUACGAGGACUUUCCAGGAGGUCACCCAUCCUAGUACAACUCUCGCCGAAGCACGCUUAACUGCGGUGUUCAGAUGGGAUCUGGUGCAUUAGUGCUGGUAUGAUGGCAUUUGUUACUACAUGCAAUGCAAUCGUAUCUAUUCUUUUGUAAAGACUUUAUGAUCCAUUUGCCGUGGGUUCCACCAGCUAUGUAGGAAUACCCUAUCUUGUUUAUAAGAGAUUUGAUACAUGCAAAAUAUUCGAACACAAUGUCCGAACAUAUAAUUUUUGCCCCGUAAUAUAGCAAAGAUCACGAAAAGGCCCGAAAAAGUACAUUAAGGUCAAAAUUUGGAGUAGAAAAAAAACACAAUAGAAGUAUUCCAUUGUCCUUCGUCAUUCAUCGAAGAGCUCUCUUUGGGCUUUUCGAAAUGAUAUCAUAUGCCAAGUUUGGCCUCACGGUCUAAAAUUUAUAGAGUCAUACAUUUUUAACAAAACAAAAAGAGAAAAACCGAAAAAAAGAGGGAUGCAACACGAGGACUUUCCUGGAGGUCACCCAUCCUAGUACUACUCUCGCCCAAGCACCCUUAACUGCGUAGUUCUGAUGGGAUCCGAUGCAUUAGUGCUGGUAUGAUCGAAUCUGUUACUACAUGUAAUGCAAUCAUAUAUAUUCUUUUUUGAAGACUUUAUGAUCCAUUUGCCGUAGGUCCCACCAGCUAUGUAGGAAUACCCUAUCUCGUUUAUAAGAGCUUUGAUACAUGCAAAAUAUUCGAAAACAAUGUCCGAACAUAUAAUGUUUGCCCCAAAAUAUAGCAAAGACCACGAAAAUGCCAUAAAAAGUACAUUAAGGUCAAAAUUUGGAGUAGGAAAAAAAAUCAAUAGGAGAAUUCCAUUUUCCUUCCUCAUUCAUCGGAGAGCUCUCUUUGGGCAUUCCAAAAAGGUAUGACAUGCCAAGUUUGGCCUCACGGUCUAAAAGUUAUAGAGUAAUACAUUUUUAACAAAAAAAAAAGAGAANAAACCGAAAAAAAGAGGGAUGCAACACGAAGACUUUUCUGGAGGUCAUCCAUCCUAGUACUACUCUCCCCCAAGCACGCUUAACUGUGGUGUUCUGAUAGGAUCAAGUGCAUUAGUGCUGGUAUGAUCGCAUCAGUUACUACAUGCAAUGCAAUCAUAUAUAUNNNNNNNNNNNNNNNNNNNNNNNNNNNNNNNNNNNNNNNNNNNNNNNNNNAAAGUCAAAAUUUGGAGUAGAAAAAAACCCAAUAGAAGUAUUCCAUUCUCCUUCGUCAUUCAUCGGAGAGCUCUCUUUAGGCUUUCCGAAAAGAUAUCACAUGCCAAGUUUGGCCUCACGGUUUAAAAGUUAUAGAGUCAUAGAUUUUUAACAAAACAAAAAGAGAAAAACCGAAAAAAAUUGGGAUGCAACACGAGGACUUUCCUGGAGGUCACCCAUCCUAGUACUACUCUCGCCCAAGCACCCUUAACUGCGUAGUUCUGAUGGGAUCCGAUGCUNUAGUGCUGGUAUGAUCGCAUCUGUUACUACAUGCAAUGUAAUCGUAUCUAUUCUUUNUUAAAGACUUUAUGAUCCAUUUGCCGUGGGUCCCACCAGCUAUGUAGGAAUACCCUAUCUUCUNUAUAAGAGCNUUUGAUAAAUGCANAAUAUUGGAAACCAAUGUCCGAACAUAUAAUUUCGCCCCCGUAAUAUAGCANAGAUCACGAAAAAGCCCAAAAAAGUUCAUUUAGGUCAAAAUUUGAGCAGAAGAAAAAGAAAUAGAAGAAUUCCAUUUUCCUUCCUCAUUUAUUGGAGAGCUCUCUUUGGGCUUUCCGAAAAGGUAUCACAUGCCAAGUUUGGCCUCACGGUCUAAAAGUUAUAGAGUCAUACAUUUUUAACAAAAUGAAAUAGAGAAAAACCGAAAAAAAGAGGGAUGUAACACGAGGACUUUCCGGGAGGUAAUCUAUCCUACUACUACUCUCGGCCAAGCACCCUUAACUGCGGAGUUCUAAUGGGAUCCGGUGCAUUAGUGCUGGUAUGAUCGCAUGUGUUACUACAUGCAAUGUAAUCGUAUCUAUUCUUUUUUAAAGACUUUAUGAUCCAUUUGCCGUGGGUCCCACCAGCUAUGUAGGAAUACCCUAUCUUCUUUAUAAGAGCUUUGAUACAUGCAAAAUAUAUGAAAAAAACGUCCGAACAUAUAAUUUUCCCCCCGUAAUAUAGCAAAGAUCAUGAAAAGGCCCAAAAAAGUACAUUAAUGUCAAAAUUUGGCGUAGAAAAAAAACCAAUAGACAUAUUCCAUUGUCCUUCGUCAUUCAUUGAAGAGCUCUCUUUGGGCUUUCCGAAAAGGUAUCACAUGCCAAGUUUGGCCUCACGGUCUAAAAGUUAUAGAGUCAUACAUUUUUAACAAUACAAAAUAGAGAAAAACCGAAAAAAAGAGGGAUGCAACACGAGGACUUUCCGGGAGGUAAUCCAUCCUAGUACUACUCUCGCCCAAGCACCCUUAACUGCGGAGUUCUGAUGGGACCCGGUGCAUUAGUGCUGGUAUGAUCGCAUCUGUUACUAUAUGCAAUGUAAUCGUAUCUAUUCUUUUUUAAAGACUUUAUGAUCCAUUUGCCGUGGGUCCCACCAGCUAUGUAGGAAUACCCUAUCUUCUUUAUAAGAGCUUUGAUAUAUGCAAAAUAUUGGAACACCAUGUCCGAACAUAUAAUUUUUCCCGUGUAAUAUAGCAAAGAUCAAGAAAAAGAAAAAAAAGUACAUUUAGGUCAAAAUUUGAGUAGAAAAAAACAAAUAGAAGAAUUCCAUUUUCCUUCCUCAUUCAGCUGAGAGCUCUCUUUGGGCUUUCCGAAAAGGUAUCAUAUGCCAAGUUUGGCCUCACAGUGUAAAAGUUAUAGAGUCUAACAUUUUUAACAAAACAAAAUAGAGAAAAACCAAAAAAAGAGGGAUGCAACACGAGGACUUUCUGGGAGGUCACCCAUCCUAGUACUACUCUCGCCCAAGCACCCUUAACUGCGGAGUUCUGAUGGGAUCCGGUGCAUUAGUGCUGGUAUGAUCGCAUGUGUUACUACAUGCAAUGUAAUCCUAUCUAUUCUUUCUUAAAGACUUUAUGAUCCAUUUGCCGUGAGUCCCACCAGCUAUGUAGGAAUACCCUAUCUUCUUUAUAAGAGCUUUGAUACAUGCAAAAUAUUGGAAAACAAUGUCCGAACAUAUAGUUUUCCCCCGUAAUAUAGCAAAGAUCACGAAAAGGCCCGAAAAAGUACAUUUAGUUCAAAAUUGGGAGUAGAAAAAAAAAACAAUAGAAGAAUUCCAUUUUACUUCCUCAGUCAUCGGAGAGCUCUCUUUGGGCUUUCCGAAAAGGUAUCACAUGCCCAGUUUGGCCUCACGGUCUAAAAGUUAUAAAGUCAUACAUUUUUAACAAAAAAAAAAGAGAAAAACCGAAAAAAAGAGGGAUGCAAUACGAGGACUUUCCACGAGGUCACCCAUCCUAGUACAACUCUCGCCAAAGCAUGCUUAACUGCGGAGUUUAGAUGGGAUCUGGUGCAUUAGUGCUGGUAUGAUCGCAUCUGUUACUACAUGCAAUGCAAUCGUAUCUAUUCUUAUUUAAAGACUUUAUCAUCCAUUUGCCAUGGGUCCCACCUGUAGGAAUACCCAAUCUUGUUUAUAAGAGCUUUGAUACAUGCAAAAUAUUCGAAAACAACGUCCGAACAUAUAAUUUUCGCCCCGUAAUAUAGCAAAGAUCACGAAAAGGCCCGAAAAAGUACAUUAAGGUCAAAAUUUGGAAUAGAAAAAAAAACCAAAAGAAGUAUUCCAUUGUCCUUUGUCAUUCAUCGAAGAGCUCUCUUUGGGCUUUCCGAAAAGGUAUCGCAAGCCAAGUUUGGCCUCACGGUUUAAAAGUUAUAAAGUCAUACAUUUUUAACAAAAAAAAAAAGAGAAAAAACCGAAAAAAAGAGGGAUGCAACACGAGGACUUUUCUGGAGGUCACCCAUCCUAGUACUACUCUCGCCCGAUCACCCUUAACUGCGUAGUUUUGAUGGGAUUCGAUGCAUUAGUGCUGGUAUGAUCGCAUCUGUUACUACAUGCAAUGUAAUCGUAUCUAUUCUUUUUUAAAGACUUUAUGAUCCAUUUGCCGUGGGUCCCACCAGCUAUGUAGGAAUACCCUAUCUUCUUUAUAAGAGCUUUGAUAUAUGCAAAAUAGUGGAAAACCAUGUCCGAACAUAUAAUUUUUCCCCUGUAAUAUAGCAAAGAUCAAGAAAAAGCCAAAAAAAGUAUAUUUAGGUCAAAAUUUGGAGUAGAAAAAAAAACAAUAGAAGAAUUCCAUUUUCCUUCCUCAGUCAUCGGAGAGCUCUCUUUCGGCUUUCCGAAAAGGUAUCAAAUGCCAAGUUUGGCCUCACGGUCUAAAAGUUAUAGAGUCAUACAUUUUUAACAAUACAAAGUAGAGAAAACCGGAAAAAAGAGGGAUGCAACAUGAGGACUUUCCGGGAGGUAAUCCAUCCUAGUACAACUCUUGCCCAAGCACCCUUAACUGCGGAGUUCUGAUGGAAUCCGGUGCAUUAGUGCUGGUAUGAUCGCAUGUGUUACUACAUGNNNNNNNNNNNNNNNNNNNNNNNNNNNNNNNNNNNNNNNNNNNNNNNNNNCCAAAAAGGUAUCACAUGCCAAGUUUGGCCUCNCGGUCUAAAAGUUAUAGAGUCAUACAUUUUUAACAAACCAAAAUAGAGAAAACCGGAAAAAAGAGGGAUGCAACACGAGGACUUUCCGGGAGGUCACCCAUCCUAGUACUACUUUCGCCCAAGCACCCUUAACUGCGGAGUUCUGAUGGGAUCCGGUGCAUUAGUGCUGGUAUGAUCGCAUGUGUUACUACAUGCAAUGUAAUCAUAUUUCUUGUUAUUUAAAGAUUUUAUGAUCCAUUUGCCGUGGGUCCCACCAUCUAUGUAGGAAUACCUUAUCUUCUUUAUAGGAGCUUUGAUACAUGCAAAAUAUUGGAAAACAAUAUCCGAACAUAUAUCUUUCCCCCCGUAAUAUAGCAAAGAUCGCGAAAAGGCCCGAAAAAGUACAUUUAGGUCAAAAUUUGGAGAGGAAAAAAAAAGCAAUAGAAGAAUUCCAUUUUCCUUCCUCAGUCAUCGGAGAGCUCUCUUUGGGCUUUCCGAAAAGGUAUCACAUGCCAAGUUUGGCCUCAUGGUCUAAAAGUUAUAGAGCCAUACAUUUUUAACAAAACAAAAUAGAGAAAAACCAAAAAAAGAGAGGGAUGCAACACGAGGACUUUCCGGGAGGUCACCCAUCCUAGUACUACUCUCGCCCAAGCACCCUUAACUGCGGAGUUCUGAUGGGAUCCAGUGCAUUAGUGCUGGUAUGAUCGCAUGUGUUACUACAUGCAAUGUAAUCGUAUCUAUUCUUUUUUAAAGAUUAUAUGAUCCAUUUGCCGUGGGUCCCACCAGCUAUGUAGGAAUACCCUAUCUUCUUUAUAAGAGCUUUGAUACAUGCAAAAUAUUGGAAAACAAUGUCCGAACAUAUAAUUUUCCCCCCGUAAUAUAGCAAAGAUCACGAAAAGGCCCAAAAAAGUACAUUUAGGUCAAAAUUUGGAGUUGAAAAAAAACAAAAAGAAGAAUUCCAUUUUCCUUCCUCAUUCAUUGGAGAGCUCUCUUUGGGCUUUCCGAAAAGGUAUCACAUGCCAUGUUUAGCCUCACGGUCUAAAAGUUAUAGAGUCAUACAUUUUUAACAAAACAAAAUAGAGAAAAACCAAAAAAACGAGGGAUGCAACACGAGGACUUUCUGGGAAGUCACCCAUCCUAGUACUACUCUCGCCCAAGCACCCUUAACUGCGGAGUUCUGAUGGGAUCCGGUGCAUUAGUGCUGGUAUGAUCGCAUGUGUUACUACAUGCAAUGUAAUCGUAUCUAUUGCUUUUAAAGACUUUAUGAUCCAUUUGCCGUGGGUCCCACCAGCUAUGUAGGAAUACCCUAUCUUCUUUAUAAGAGUUUUCAUACAUGCAAAAUAUUGGAAAACAAUGUCCGAACAUAUAAUUUUCCCCCCGUAAUAUAGCAAAGAUCACGAAAAGGCCCAAAAAAGUACAUUUAGUUCAAAAUUUGGAGUAGAAAAAAAAAUAAUAGAAAAUUUCCAAUUUCCUUCUUCAUUCAUCGGAGAGCUCUCUUUGGGCUUUCCGAAAAGGUAUCACAUGCCAAGUUUGGCCUCACGGUCUAAAAGUUAUAAAGUCAUACAUUUUUAACAAAACAAAAUAGAGAAAAACGGAAAAAGAGGGAUGCAACACGUGGACUUUCCGGGAGGUCACCCAUCCUAGUACUACUCUCGUCCAAGGACCCUUAACUGCGGAGUUCUGUUGGGAUCCGUUGCAUUAGUGCUGGUAUGAUCGCAUGUGUUACUACAUGCAAUGUAAUCGUAUCUAUUCUUUUUUAAAGACUUUAUGAUCCAUUUGCCGUGGGUCCCACCAACUAUGUAGGAAUACCCUAUCUUCUUUAUAAGAGCUUUGAUACAUGCAAAAUAUUGGAAAACAAUGUCCGAACACAUAAUUUUUCCCCCAUAAUAUAACAAAGAUCACGAAAAGGCCCGAAAUAGUACAUUUAGUUCAAAAUUUGGAGUAGAAAAAAAACCAGUUUAAGAAUUCCAUUUUCCUUCCUCAUUCAUCGGAGAGCUCUCUUUGGACUUUCCGAAAAGGUAUCACAUGCCAAGUUUGGCCUCACGGUCUAAAAGUUAUAGAGUCAUACAUUUUUAACAAAACAAAAUAGAGAAAAACAGAAAAAAGAGGGAUGCAACACGAGGACUUUCCGGGAGGUCACCCAUCCUAGUACUACUCUCGCCCAAGCACCCUUAACUGCAGAGUUCUGCUGGGAUCCGGUGCAUUAGUGCUGGUAUGAUCGCAUCUGUUACUACAUGCAAUGUAAUCGUAUCUAUUCUUUUUUAAAGCUUUUAUGAUCCAUUUGCCGUGGGUCCCACCAGCUAUGUAGGAAUACCCUAUCUUCUUUAUAAGAGCUUUGAUACAUGCAAAAUAUUGGAAAACAAUGUCCGAACAUAUAAUUUCCCCCCUCGUAAUAUAGCAAAGAUCACAAAAAGGCUCGAAAAAGUACAUUUAGUUCAAAAUUUGGAGUAGAAAAAAACCAACAGAAAAAUUCCAAUUUCCUCCCUCAUUCAUCGGAGAGCUCUCUUUGGGCUUUCCAAAAAGGUAUCACAUGCCAAGUUUGGCCUCACGGUCUAAAAGUUAUAGAGUCAUACAUUUUUAACAAAACAAAAUAGAGAAAAACGGAAAAAAGAGGGAUGCAACACGAGGACUUUCCGGGAGGUCACCCAUCCUAGUACUACUCUCGUCCAAGGACCCUUAACUGCGAAGUUCUGAUGGGAUCCGUUGCAUUAGUGCUGGUAUGAUCGCAUGUGUUACUACAUGCAAUGUAAUCGUAUCUAUUCUUUUUUAAAGACUUUAUGAUCCAUUUGCCGUGGGUCCCACCAGCUAUAUAGGAAAACCCAAUCUUCUUUAUAAGAGCUUUGAUACAUGCAAAAUAUUGGAAAACAAUGUCCGAACAUAUAAUUUUCCCCCAUAAUAUAGCAAAGAUCACGAAAAGGCCCGAAAAAGUACAUUUAGUUCAAAAUUUGGAGUAGAAAAAAAGACAGUAAAAGAAUUCCAUUUUCCUUCCUCAGUGAUCGGAGAGCUCUCUUUGGACUUUCCGAAAAGGUAUCACAUGCCAAGUUUGGCCUCACGGUCUAAAAGUUAUAGAGUCAUACAUUUUUAACAAAACAAAAUAGAGAAAAACGGAAAAAAGAGGGAUGCAACACGAGGACUUUCCGGGAGGUCACCCAUCCUAGUACUACUUUCGCCCAAGCACCCUUAACUGCGGAGUUCUGAUGGGAUCCGGUGCAUUAGUGCUGGUAUGAUCGCAUGUGUUACUACAUGCAAUGUAAUCAUAUUUCUUGUUAUUUAAAGAUUUUAUGAUCCAUUUGCCGUGGGUCCCACCAUCUAUGUAGGAAUACCUUAUCUUCUUUAUAGGAGCUUUGAUACAUGCAAAAUAUUGGAAAACAAUAUCCGAACAUAUAUCUUUCCCCCCGUAAUAUAGCAAAGAUCGCGAAAAGGCCCGAAAAAGUACAUUUAGGUCAAAAUUUGGAGAAGAAAAAAAAAGCAAUAGAAGAAUUCCAUUUUCCUUCCUCAGUCAUCGGAGAGCUCUCUUUGGGCUUUCCGAAAAGGUAUCACAUGCCAAGUUUGGCCUCAUGGUCUAAAAGUUAUAGAGCCAUACAUUUUUAACAAAACAAAAUAGAGAAAAACCAAAAAAAGAGAGGGAUGCAACACGAGGACUUUCCGGGAGGUCACCCAUCCUAGUACUACUCUCGCCCAAGCACCCUUAACUGCGGAGUUCUGAUGGGAUCCAGUGCAUUAGUGCUGGUAUGAUCGCAUGUGUUACUACAUGCAAUGUAAUCGUAUCUAUUCUUUUUUAAAGAUUAUAUGAUCCAUUUGCCGUGGGUCCCACCAGCUAUGUAUGAAUACCCUAUCUUCUUUAUAAGAGCUUUGAUACAUGCAAAAUAUUGGAAAACAAUGUCCGAACAUAUAAUUUUCCCCCCGUAAUAUAGCAAAGAUCACGAAAAGGCCCAAAAAAGUACAUUUAGGUCAAAAUUUGGAGUUGAAAAAAAACAAAAAGAAGAAUUCCAUUUUCCUUCCUCAUUCAUUGGAGAGCUCUCUUUGGGCUUUCCGAAAAGGUAUCACAUGCCAUGUUUAGCCUCACGGUCUAAAAGUUAUAGAGUCAUACAUUUUUAACAAAACAAAAUAGAGAAAAACCAAAAAAACGAGGGAUGCAACACGAGGACUUUCUGGGAAGUCACCUAUCCUAGUACUACUCUCGCCCAAGCACCCUUAACUGCGGAGUUCUGAUGGGAUCCGGUGCAUUAGUGCUGGUAUGAUCGCAUGUGUUACUACAUGCAAUGUAAUCGUAUCUAUUGCUUUUAAAGACUUUAUGAUCCAUUUGCCGUGGGUCCCACCAGCUAUGUAGGAAUACCCUAUCUUCUUUAUAAGAGUUUUCAUACAUGCAAAAUAUUGGAAAACAAUGUCCGAACAUAUAAUUUUCCCCCCGUAUAUAGCAAAGAUCACGAAAAGGCCCAAAAAAGUCCUUUAAGGUCAAAAUUUGAAGUUGAAAAAAAACAAAAAGAAAAAUUCCAUUUUCCUUCCUCAUUCAUUGAAAAGCUCUCUUUGGGCUUUCCGAAAAGGUAUCACAUGCCAUGUUUAGCCUCACGGUCUAAAAGUUAUAGAGUCAUACAUUUUUAACAAAACAAAAUAGAGAAAAACCAAAAAAACGAGGGAUGCAACACGAGGACUUUCUGGGAAGUCACCUAUCCUAGUACUACUCUCGCCCAAGCACCCUUAACUGCGGAGUUCUGAUGGGAUCCGGUGCAUUAGUGCUGGUAUGAUCGCAUGUGUUACUACAUGCAAUGUAAUCGUAUCUAUUGCUUUUAAAGACUUUAUGAUCCAUUUGCCGUGGGUCCCACCAGCUAUGUAGGAAUACCCUAUCUUCUUUAUAAGAGUUUUCAUACAUGCAAAAUAUUGGAAAACAAUGUCCGAACAUAUAAUUUUCCCCCCGUAAUAUAGCAAAGAUCACGAAAAGGCCCAAAAAAGUACAUUUAGUUCAAAAUUUGGAGUAGAAAAAAAAACAAUAGAAAAUUUCCAAUUUCCUUCUUCAUUCAUCGGAGAGCUCUCUUUGGGCUUUCCGAAAAGGUAUCACAUGCCAAGUUUGGCCUCACGGUCUAAAAGUUAUAAAGUCAUACAUUUUUAACAAAACAAAAUAGAGAAAAACGGAAAAAGAGGGAUGCAACACGUGGACUUUCCGGGAGGUCACCCAUCCUAGUACUACUCUCGUCCAAGGACCCUUAACUGCGGAGUUCUGUUGGGAUCCGUUGCAUUAGUGCUGGUAUGAUCGCAUGUGUUACUACAUGCAAUGUAAUCGUAUCUAUUCUUUUUUAAAGACUUUAUGAUCCAUUUGCCGUGGGUCCCACCAACUAUGUAGGAAUACCCUAUCUUCUUUAUAAGAGCUUUGAUACAUGCAAAAUAUUGGAAAACAAUGUCCGAACAUAUAAUUUUUCCCCCAUAAUAUAACAAAGAUCACGAAAAGGCCCGAAAAAGUACAUUUAGUUCAAAAUUUGGAGUAGAAAAAAACCAGUUUAAGAAUUCCAUUUUCCUUCCUCAUUCAUCGGAGAGCUCUCUUUGGACUUUCCGAAAAGGUAUCACAUGCCAAGUUUGGCCUCACGGUCUAAAAGUUAUAGAGUCAUACAUUUUUAACAAAACAAAAUAGAGAAAAACAGAAAAAAGAGGGAUGCAACACGAGGACUUUCCGGGAGGUCACCCAUCCUAGUACUACUCUCGCCCAAGCACCCUUAACUACAGAGUUCUGCUGGGAUCCGGUGCAUUAGUGCUGGUAUGAUCGCAUCUGUUACUACAUGCAAUGUAAUCGUAUCUAUUCUUUUUUAAAGCUUUUAUGAUCCAUUUGCCGUGGGUCCCACCAGCUAUGUAGGAAUACCCUAUCUUCUUUAUAAGAGCUUUGAUACAUGCAAAAUAUUGGAAAACAAUGUCCGAACAUAUAAUUUCCCCCCUCGUAAUAUAGCAAAGAUCACAAAAAGGCUCGAAAAAGUACAUUUAGGUCAAAAUUUGGAGUAGAAAAAAAAACAAUAGAAGAAUUCCAUUUUCCUUCCUCAGUCAUUGGAGAGAUCUCUUUGGGCUUUGCGAAAAGGUAUCACAUGCCAAGUUUGGCCUCACGGUCUAAAAGUUAUAAAGUCAUACGUUUUUAGCAAAAAAAAAAGAGAAAAACCGAAAAAAAGAGGGAUGCAACACGAGGUCACCCAUUCUAGUACUACUCUCGCCCAAGCACCCUUAACUGCGUAGUUCUGAUGGGAUCUGAGGCAUUAGUGCUUGUAUGAUCGCAUCUGUUACUACAUGCAAUGUAAUCGUAAAUAUUCUUUUUUAAAGACUUUAUUAUCCAUUUGCCGUGGGUCCAACCAGCUAUGUAGGGAUACCCUAUCUUCUUUAUAAGAGCUUUGACACAUGCAAAAUAUUGGAAAAGAAUGUCCGAACAUAUUCUUUUCCCCCCGUAAUAUAGCAAAGAUCACGAAAAGGCCCGAAAAUGUAUAUUAAGUUCAAAAUUUGGAGUAGAAAAAAAAAACAAUAGAUGAAUUCCAUUUUCCUUCCUCAUUCAUUGGAGAGCUCUCUUUGGGCUUUCCGAAAAGGUAUGACAUUUCAAGUUUGGCCUCAUGGUCUCAAAGUUAUAAAGUCAUACAUUUUUCACAAAAAAAAAAAAAAGAAAAACCAAAAAAAAAAAGAGGGAUGUAACACGAGGACUUUUUUGGGAGGUCACCCAUCCUAGUACUACUCUCGCCCAAGCACGCUUAACUGCGGAGUUCUGAUGGGAUCCAGUUCAUUAGUGCUGGUAUGAUCGCAUGUGUUACUAUAUGCAAUGUAAUCGUAUCUAUUCUUUUUUAAUGACUUUAUGAUCCAUUUGCUGUGAGUCCCACCAGCUAUGUAGGAAUACCCUAUCUUCUCUAUAAGAGCUUUGAUACAUGCAAAAUAUUGGAAAACAAUGUCCGAACAUAUAGUUUUCCCCCCGUAAUAUAGCAAAGAUCACGAAAAGGCCCGAAAAGGUACAUUUAGUUCAAAAUUUGGAGUAGAAGAAAAAACAAUAGAAGAAUUCCAUUUCCCUUCCUCAGUCAUCGGAGAGCUCUCUUUGGGCUUUCCAAAAAGGUAUCACAUGCCAAGUUUGGCCUCACGGUCUAAAAGUUAUAGAGUCAUACAUUUUUAACAAUACAAAAUAGAGAAAAACCGAAAAAAAAGAGGGAUGCAACACGAGGACUUUCCGGGAGGUAAUCCAUCCUAGUACUACUCUCGCCCAAGCACCCUUAACUGCGGAGUUCUGAUGGGAUCCGAUGCAUUAGUGCUGGUAUGAUCGCAUGUGUUACUACAUGCAAUGUAAUCGUAUCUAUUCUUUUUUAAAGACUUUAUGAUCCAUUUGCCGUGGGUCCCACCAGCUAUGUAGGAUUAGCCUAUCUUGUUUAUAAGAGCUUUGAUACAUGCAAAAUAUUGGAAACCAAUGUCCAAACAUAUAAUUUUCACCCCGUAAUAUAGCAAAGAUCACGAAAAGUCCCGAAAAAGUACAUUUAGGUCAAAAUUUGGAAUAGAAAAAAAAAAAAUAGGAGUAUUCCAUUUUCCUUCCUCAUUCAUCGGAGAGCUCUCUUUGAGCUUUCUGAAAAGGUAUCACAUGCCAAGUUUGGCCUCACGGUCUAAAAGUUAUAGAGUCAUACAUUUUUAAAAAUACAAAAUAGAGAAAAACCGAAGAAAAGAGGGAUGCAACACGAGGACUUUCCGGGAGGUAAUCCAUCCUAGUACUACUCUCGCCCAAGCACCCUUAACUGCGAAGUUCUAAUGGAAUCCGGUACAUUAGUGCUGGUAUGAUCGCAUCUGUUACUAUAUGCAAUGUAAUCGUAUCUAUUCUUUUUUAAAGACUUUAUGAUCCAUUUGCCGUGGGUCUCACCAGCUAUGUAGGAAUACCCUAUCUUCUUUAUAAGAGCUUUGAUAUAUGCAAAAUAUUGGAACACCAUGUCCGAACAUAUAAUUUUUCCCGUGUAAUAUAGCAAAGAUCAAGAAAAAGCCAAAAAAGUACAUUUAGGUCAAAAUUUGAGUAGAAAAAAACAAAUAGAAGAAUUCUAUAUUCCUUCCUCAUUCGUCGGAGAGCUCUCUUUGGGCUUUCCGAAAAGGUAUCAUAUGCCAAGUUUGGCCUCGCGGUCUAAAAGUUACGGAGUCUAACAUUUUUAACAAAACAAAAUAGAGAAAAACCGAAAAAAGAGGGAUGCAACACGAGGACUUUCCGGGAGGUCACCCAUCCUAGUACUACUCUCGCCCAAGCACCCUUAACUGCGGAGUUCUGAUGGGAUCCGGUGCAUUAGUGCUGGUAUGAUCGCAUGUGUUACUACAUGCAAUGUAAUCGUAUCUAUUCUUUCUUAAAGACUUUAUGAUCCAUUUGCCGUGAGUCCCACCAGCUAUGUAGGAAUACCCUAUCUUCUUUAUAAGAGCUUUGAUACAUGCAAAAUAUUGGAAAACAAUGUCCGAACAUAUAGUUUUCCCCCCGUAAUAUAGCAAAGAUCACGAAAAGGCCCGAAAAAGUACAUUUAGUUCAAAAUUUGGAGUAGAAAAAAAAACAAUAGAAGAAUUCCAUUUUCCUUCCUCAUUCAUCGGAGAGCUCUCUUUGGGCUUUCCGAAAAAGUAUCACAUGCCAAGUUUGGCCUCACGGUCUAAACGUUAUAGAGUCAUACAUUUUUAACAAUACAAAAUAGAGAAAAACCGAAAAAAGAGGGAUGCUACACGAAGACUUUCCGGGAGGUAAUCCAUCCUAGUACUACUCUUGCCCAAGCACCCUUAACUGCGGAGUUCUGAUGGAAUCUGGUGCAUUAGUGCUGGUAUGAUCGCAUGUGUUACUACAUGCAAUGUAAUCGUAUCUAUUCUUUUUUAAAGACUUUAUGAUCCAUUUGCCGUGGGUCCCACCAGCUAUGUAGGAAUACCCUAUUUUCUUUAUAAGAGCUUUGAUACAUGCAAAAUAUAUGAAAAAAACGUUCGAACAUAUAAUUUUCCCCCCGUAAUAUAGCAAAGAUCACGAAAAGGCUCGAAAAAUUACAUUUAGUUCAAAAUUUUUAGUAGAAAAAACCCAAUAGAAGAAUUCCAUUUUCCUUCCUCAGUCAUCGGAGAGCUCUCUUUGGGCUUUCCGAAAAGGUAUCACAUGCCAAGUUUGGCCUCACGGUCUAAAAGUUAUAGAGUCAUACAUUUUUAACAAAACAAAAUUGAGAAAAACCGAAAAAAAGAGGGAUGCAACACGAGGACUCUCCAAAAGGUAACCCAUCUUAGUACUACUCUCGCCCAAGCACCCUUAACUGCGGAGUUCUGAUGGGACCCGGUGCAUUUGUGCUGGUAUGAUCGCAUGUGUCACUACAUGCAAUGUAAUCGUAUCUAUUCUUUUUUAAAGACUUUAUGAUCCAUUUGCAGUGGGUCCUACCAGCUAUGUAGGAAUACCCUACCUUCUUUAUAAGAGCUUUCAUACAUGCAUAAUAUUGGAAAACAAUGUCCGAAGAUAUAAUUUUCCCCCCAUAAUAUAGCAAAGAUCACGAAAAGGCCCGAAAAAGUACAUUAUGUUCAAAAUUUGGAGUCGAAAAAAAACCAAUAGAAGAAUUCCAUUUUACUUCCUUAGUCAUCGGAGAGCUCUCUUUGGGCUUUCCGAAAAGGUAUCACAUGCCAAGUUUGGCCUCACGGUCUAAAAGUUAUAGAGUCAUACAUUUUUAACAAAACAAAAUAGAGAAAAACGGGAAAAAAGAGGGAUGUAACACGAGGACAUUCCGGGAGGUCACCCAUCCUAGUACUACUCUUGCCCAAGCACCCUUAACUGCGGAGUUCUUAUGGGAUCCGGUGCAUUAGUGUUGGUAUGAUCGCAUGUGUUACUACAUGCAAUGUAAUCGUAUCUAUUCUUUUUAAAGACUUUAUGAUCCAUUUGCCGUGGGUCCCACCAGCUAUGUAGGAAUACCCUAUCUUCUUUAUAAGAGCUUUGAUACAUGUAAAAUAUUGGAAAACAAUGUCCGAAGAUAUAAUUUUCCCCCGUAAUAUAGCAAAGAUCACGAAAAGGCCCGAAAAUGUACAUUAAGUUCAAAAUUUGGAGUAGAAAAAAAAAACAAUAGAAGAAUUCCAUUUUCCUUCCUCAUUCAUCGGAGAGCUCUCUUUGGGCUUUCCGAAAAGGUAUGACAUUCCAAGUUUGGCCUCAUGGUCUCAAAUUUAUAAAGUCAUACAUUUUUCACAAAAAAAAAAUAAAGAAAAACCAAAAAAAAAAAAGAGGGAUGUAACACGAGGACUUUUUUGGGAGGUCACCCAUCCUAGUACUACUCUCGCCCAAGCACGCUUAACUGCGGAGUUCUGAUGGGAUCCGGUUCAUUAGUGCUGGUAUGAUCACAUGUGUUACUACAUGCAAUGUAAUCGUAUCUAUUCUUUUUUAAAGACUUUAUGAUCCAUUUGCCGUGAGUCCCACCAGCUAUGUAGGAAUACCCUAUCUUCUCUAUAAGAGCUUUGAUACAUGCAAAAUAUUGGAAAACAAUGUCCGAACAUAUAGUUUUCCCCCCGUAAUAUAGCAAAGAUCACGAAAAGGCCCGAAAAAGUACAUUUAGUUCAAAAUUUGGAGUAGAAAAAAAAACAAUAAAAGAAUUUCAUUUCCCUUCCUCAGUCAUCGGAGAGCUCUCUUUGGGCUUUCCAAAAAGGUAUCACAUGCCAAGUUUGGCCUCACGGUCUAAAAGUUAUAGAGUCAUACAUUUUUAACAAUACAAAAUAGAGAAAAACCGAAAAAAAAGAGGGAUGCAACACGAGGACUUUCCGGGAGGUAAUCAAUCCUAGUACUACUCUAGCCCAAGCACCCUUAACUGCGGAGUUCUAAUGGAAUCCAGUGCAUUAGUGCGGGUAUGAUCGCAUGUGUUACUACAUGCAAUGUAAUCGUAUCUAUUCUUUUUUAAAGACUUUAUGAUCCAUUUGCCGUGGGUCCCACCAGCUAUGUAGGAAUACACUAUCUUCUUUAUAAGAGCUUUGAUACAUGCAAAAUAUUGGAAAAAAACGUCCGAACAUAUAAUUUUCCCCACGUAAUAUAGCAAAGAUCACGAAAAUGCCCCAAAAAGUACAUUUAGUUCAAAAUUUGGAGUAGAAAAAAAAACAAUAGAAGAAUUACAUUUUCCUUCCUCACUCAUCGGAGAGCUCUCUUUGGGCUUUUCGAAAAGGUACCACAUGCCAAGUUUGGCCUCACGGUCUAAAAGUUAUAGAGUCAUACAUUUUUAACAAAAUAAAAUUGAGAAAAACCGAAAAAAAGAGGGAUGCAACACGAGGACUCUCCAGAAGGUAACCCAUCUUAGUACUACUCUCGCUCUUGCACCCUUAACUAUGGAGUUCUGAUGGGACCCGGUGCAUUAGUGCUGGUAUGAUCGCAUCUGUUACUAUAUGCAAUGUAAUCGUAUCUAUUCUUUUUUAAAGACUUUAUGAUCCAUUUGCCGUGGGUCCCACCAGCUAUGUAGGAAUACCCUAUCUUCUUUAUAAGAGCUUUGAUAUAUGCAAAAUAUUGGAUUACCAUGUCCGAACAUAUAAUUUUUCCCGUGUAAUAUAGCAAAGAUCAAGAAAAAGCCAAAAAAGUACAUUUAGGUCAAAAUUUGAGUAGAAAAAAACAAAUAGAAGAAUUCCAUUUUCCUUCCUCAUUCACCGUAGAGCUCUCAUUGGGCUUUCCGAAAAGGUAUCAUAUGCCAAGUUUGGCCUCACGGUCUAAAAGUUAUAGAGUCUAACAUUCUUAACAAAACAAAAUAGAGAAAAACCGAAAAAAGAGGGAUGCAACACGAGGACUUUCCGGGAGGUCACCCAUCCUAGUACUACUCUCGCCCAAGGACCCUUAACUGCGGAGUUCUGAUGGGAUCCGUUGCAUUAGUGCUGGUAUGAUCGCAUGUGUUACUACAUGCAAUGUAAUCGUAUCUAUUCUUUCUUAAAGACUUUAUGAUCCAUUUGCCGUGCGUCCCACCAGCUAUGUAGGAAUACCCUAUCUUCUUUAUAAGAGCUUUGAUACAUGCAAAAUAUUGGAAAACAAUGUCCGAACAUAUAGUUUUCCCCCCGUAAUAUAGCAAAGAUCACGAAAAGGCCCGAAAAAGUACAUUUAGUUCAAAAUUUGGAGUAGAAAAAAAAACAAUAGAAGAAUUCCAUUUUCCUUCCUCAGUCAUCGGAGAGCUCUCUUUGGGCUUUCCGAAAAGGUAUCACAUGCCAAGUUUGGCCUCACGGUCUAAACGUUAUAGAGUCAUACAUUUUUAACAAUACAAAAUAGAGAAAAACCGAAAAAAAGAGGGAUGCAACACGAAGACUUUCCGGGAGGUAAUCCAUCCUAGUACUACUCUUGCCAAAGCACCCUUAACUGCGGAGUUCUGAUGGAAUCUGGUGCAUUAGUGCUGGUAUGAUCGCAUGUGUUACUACAUGCAAUGUAAUCGUAUCUAUUCUUUUUUAAAGACUUUAUGAUCCAUUUGCCGUGGGUCCCACCAGCUAUGUACGAAUACCCUAUCUUCUUUAUAAGAGCUUUGAUACAUGCAAAAUAUAUGAAAAAAACGUCCGAACAUAUAAUUUUCCCCCCGUAAUAUAGCAAAGAUCAUGAAAAGGCCCAAAAAAGUACAUUAAGGUCAAAAUUUGGCGUAGAAAAAAAACCAAUAGACAUAUUCCAUUGGCCUUCGUCAUUCAUUGGAGAGCUCUCUUUGGGCUUUCCGAAAAGGUAUCACAUGCCAAGUUUGGCCUCACGGUCUAAAAGUUAUAGAGUCAUACAUUUUUAACAAUACAAAAUAGAGAAAAACCGAAAAAAAGAGGGAUGCAACACGAGGACUUUCCGGGAGGUAAUCCAUCCUAGUACUACUCUCGCCCAAGCACCCUUAACUGCGGAGUUCUAAUGGAAUCCGGUGCAUUAGUGCUGGUAUGAUCGCAUCUGUUACUAUAUGCAAUGUAAUCGUAUCUAUUCUUUUUUAAAGACUUUAUGAUCCAUUUGCCGUGGGUCCCACCAGCUAUGUAGGAAUACCCUAUCUUCUUUAUAAGAGCUUUGAUAUAUGCAAAAUAUUGGAUUACCAUGUCCGAACAUAUAAUUUUUCCCGUGUAAUAUAGCAAAGAUCAAGAAAAAGCCAAAAAAGUACAUUUAGGUCAAAAUUUGAGUAGAAAAAAACAAAUAGAAGAAUUCCAUUUUCCUUCCUCAUUCACCGCAGAGCUCUCUUUGGGCUUUCCGAAAAGGUAUCAUAUGCCAAGUUUGGCCUCACGGUCUAAAAGUUAUAGAGUCUAACAUUUUUAACAAAACAAAAUAGAGAAAAACCGAAAAAAGAGGGAUGCAACACGAGGACUUUCCGGGAGGUCACCCAUCCUAGUACUACUCUCGCCCAAGGACCCUUAACUGCGGAGUUCUGAUGGGAUCCGUUGCAUUAGUGCUGGUAUGAUCGCAUGUGUUACUACAUGCAAUGUAAUCGUAUCUAUUCUUUCUUAAAGACUUUAUGAUCCAUUUGCCGUGCGUCCCACCAGCUAUGUAGGAAUACCCUAUCUUCUUUAUAAGAGCUUUGAUACAUGCAAAAUAUUGGAAAACAAUGUCCGAACAUAUAGUUUUCCCCCCGUAAUAUAGCAAAGAUCACGAAAAGGCCCGAAAAAGUACAUUUAGUUCAAAAUUUGGAGUAGAAAAAAAAACAAUAGAAGAAUUCCAUUUUCCUUCCUCAGUCAUCGGAGAGCUCUCUUUGGGCUUUCCGAAAAGGUNNNNNNNNNNNNNNNNNNNNNNNNNNNNNNNNNNNNNNNNNNNNNNNNNNGAGAAAAACCGAAAAAAGAGGGAUGCAACACGAGGACUUUCCGGGAGGUCACCCAUCCUAGUACUACUCUCGCCCAAGGACCCUUAACUGCGGAGUUCUGAUGGGAUCCGUUGCAUUAGUGCUGGUAUGAUCGCAUGUGUUACUACAUGCAAUGUAAUCGUAUCUAUUCUUUCUUAAAGACUUUAUGAUCCAUUUGCCGUGCGUCCCACCAGCUAUGUAGGAAUACCCUAUCUUCUUUAUAAGAGCUUUGAUACAUGCAAAAUAUUGGAAAACAAUGUCCGAACAUAUAGUUUUCCCCCCGUAAUAUAGCAAAGAUCACGAAAAGGCCCGAAAAAGUACAUUUAGUUCAAAAUUUGGAGUAGAAAAAAAAACAAUAGAAGAAUUCCAUUUUCCUUCCUCAGUCAUCGGAGAGCUCUCUUAGGGCUUUCCGAAAAGGUAUCACAUGCCAAGUUUGGCCUCACGGUAUAAACGUUAUAGAGUCAUACAUUUUUAACAAUACAAAAUAGAGAAAAACCGAAAAAAAGAGGGAUGCAACACGAAGACUUUCCGGGAGGUAAUCCAUCCUAGUACUACUCUUGCCAAAGCACCCUUAACUGCGGAGUUCUGAUGGAAUCUGGUGCAUUAGUGCUGGUAUGAUCGCAUGUGUUACUACAUGCAAUGUAAUCGUAUCUAUUCUUUUUUAAAGACUUUAUGAUCCAUUUGCCGUGGGUCCCACCAGCUAUGUACGAAUACCCUAUCUUCUUUAUAAGAGCUUUGAUACAUGCAAAAUAUAUGAAAAAAACGUCCGAACAUAUAAUUUUCCCCCCGUAAUAUAGCAAAGAUCAUGAAAAGGCCCAAAAAAGUACAUUAAGGUCAAAAUUUGGCGUAGAAAAAAAACCAAUAGACAUAUUCCAUUGGCCUUCGUCAUUCAUUGGAGAGCUCUCUUUGGGCUUUCCGAAAAGGUAUCACAUGCCAAGUUUGGCCUCACGGUCUAAAAGUUAUAGAGUCAUACAUUUUUAACAAUACAAAAUAGAGAAAAACCGAAAAAAAGAGGGAUGCAACACGAGGACUUUCCGGGAGGUAAUCCAUCCUAGUACUACUCUCGCCCAAGCACCCUUAACUGCGGAGUUCUAAUGGAAUCCGGUGCAUUAGUGCUGGUAUGAUCGCAUCUGUUACUAUAUGCAAUGUAAUCGUAUCUAUUCUUUUUUAAAGACUUUAUGAUCCAUUUGCCGUGGGUCCCACCAGCUAUGUAGGAAUACCCUAUCUUCUUUAUAAGAGCUUUGAUAUAUGCAAAAUAUUGGAUUACCAUGUCCGAACAUAUAAUUUUUCCCGUGUAAUAUAGCAAAGAUCAAGAAAAAGCCAAAAAAGUACAUUUAGGUCAAAAUUUGAGUAGAAAAAAACAAAUAGAAGAAUUCCAUUUUCCUUCCUCAUUCACCGCAGAGCUCUCUUUGGGCUUUCCGAAAAGGUAUCAUAUGCCAAGUUUGGCCUCACGGUCUAAAAGUUAUAGAGUCUAACAUUUUUAACAAAACAAAAUAGAGAAAAACCGAAAAAAGAGGGAUGCAACACGAGGACUUUCCGGGAGGUCACCCAUCCUAGUACUACUCUCGCCCAAGGACCCUUAACUGCGGAGUUCUGAUGGGAUCCGUUGCAUUAGUGCUGGUAUGAUCGCAUGUGUUACUACAUGCAAUGUAAUCGUAUCUAUUCUUUCUUAAAGACUUUAUGAUCCAUUUGCCGUGCGUCCCACCAGCUAUGUAGGAAUACCCUAUCUUCUUUAUAAGAGCUUUGAUACAUGCAAAAUAUUGGAAAACAAUGUCCGAACAUAUAGUUUUCCCCCCGUAAUAUAGCAAAGAUCACGAAAAGGCCCGAAAAAGUACAUUUAGUUCAAAAUUUGGAGUAGAAAAAAAAACAAUAGAAGAAUUCCAUUUUCCUUCCUCAGUCAUCGGAGAGCUCUCUUUGGGCUUUCCGAAAAGGUAUCACAUGCCAAGUUUGGCCUCACGGUCUAAACGUUAUAGAGUCAUACAUUUUUAACAAUACAAAAUAGAGAAAAACCGAAAAAAAGAGGGAUGCAACACGAAGACUUUCCGGGAGGUAAUCCAUCCUAGUACUACUCUUGCCAAAGCACCCUUAACUGCGGAGUUCUGAUGGAAUCUGGUGCAUUAGUGCUGGUAUGAUCGCAUGUGUUACUACAUGCAAUGUAAUCGUAUCUAUACUUUUUUAAAGACUUUAUGAUCCAUUUGCCGUGGGUCCCACCAGCUAUGUACGAAUACCCUAUCUUCUUUAUAAGAGCUUUGAUACAUGCAAAAUAUAUGAAAAAAACGUCCGAACAUAUAAUUUUCCCCCCGUAAUAUAGCAAAGAUCACGAAAAGGCUCGAAAAAUUACAUUUAGUUCAAAAUUUGGAGUAGAAAAACCCCAAUAGAAGAAUUCCAUUUUACUUCCUUAGUCAUCGGAGAGCUCUCUUUGGGCUUUCCGAAAAGGUAUCACAUGCCAAGUUUGGCCUCACGGUCUAAAAGUUAUAGAGUCAUACAUUUUUAACAAAACAUAAUAGAGAAAAACGGGAAAAAGAGGGAUGUAACACGAGGACUUUCCGGGAGGUCACCCAUCCUAGUACUACUCUUGCCCAAGCACCCUUAACUGCGGAGUUCUGAUGGGAUCCGGUGCAUUAGUGUUGGUAUGAUCGCAUGUGUUACUACAUGCAAUGUAAUCGUAUCUAUUCUUUUUAAAGACUUUAUGAUCCAUUUGCCGUGGGUCCCACCAGCUAUGUAGGAAUACCCUAUCUUCUUUAUAAGAGCUUUGAUACAUGCAAAAUAUUGGAAAACAAUGUCCGAACAUAUUAUUUUCCCCCCGUAAUAUAGCAAAGAUCACGAAAAGGCCCGAAAAUGUACAUUAAGUUCAAAAUUUGGAGUAGAAAAAAAAAACAAUAGAAGAAUUCCAUUUUCCUUCCUCAUUCAUCGGAGAGCUCUCUUUGGGCUUUCCGAAAAGGUAUAACAUUCCAAGUUUGGCCUCAUGGUCUCAAAGUUAUAAAGUCAUACAUUUUUCACAAAAAAAAAUAAAGAAAAACAAAAAAAAAAAAGAGGGAUGUAACACGAGGACUUUUUUGGGAGGUCACCCAUCCUAGUACUACUCUCGCCCAAGCACCCUUAACUGCGGAGUUCUGAUGGGAUCCGUUGCAUUAGUGCUGGUAUGAUCGCAUGUGUUACUACAUGCAAUGUAAUCGUAUCUAUUCUUUCUUAAAGACUUUAUGAUCCAUUUGCCGUGAGUCCCACCAGCUAUGUAGGAACACCCUAUCUUCUUUAUAAGAGCUUUGAUACAUGCAAAAUAUUGGAAAAAAACGUCCGAACAUAUAAUUUUCCCCACGUAAUAUAGCAAAGAUCACGAAAAGGCCCCAAAAAGUACAUUUAGUUCAAAAUUUGGAGUAGAAAAAAAAACAAUAGAAGAAUUCCAUUUUCCUUCCUCAGUCAUCGGAGAGCUCUCUUUGGGCUUUCCGAAAAGGUAUCACAUGCCAAGUUUGGCCUCACGGUCUAAACGUUAUAGAGUCAUACAUUUUUAACAAUACAAAAUAGAGAAAAACCGAAAAAAAGAGGGAUGCAACACGAAGACUUUCCGGGAGGUAAUCCAUCCUAGUACUACUCUUUCCAAAGCACCCUUAACUGCGGAGUUCUGAUGGAAUCUGGUGCAUUAGUGCUGGUAUGAUCGCAUGUGUUACUACAUGCAAUGUAAUCGUAUCUAUUCUUUUUUAAAGACUUUAUGAUCCAUUUGCCGUGGGUCCCACCAGCUAUGUACGAAUACCCUAUCUUCUUUAUAAGAGCUUUGAUACAUGCAAAAUAUAUGAAAAAAACGUCCGAACAUAUAAUUUUCCCCCCGUAAUAUAGCAAAGAUCACGAAAAGGCUCGAAAAAUUACAUUUAGUUCAAAAUUUGGAGUAGAAAAACCCCUAUAGAAGAAUUCCAUUUUCCUUCCUCAGUCAUCGGAGAGCUCUCUUUGGGCUUUCCGAAAAGGUAUCACAUGCCAAGUUUGGCCUCACAGUCUAAAAGUUAUAGAGUCAUACAUUUUUAACAAAACAAAAUUGAGAAAAACCGAAAAAAAGAGGGAUGCAACACGAGGACUCUCCAGAAGGUAACCCAUCUUAGUACUACUCUCGCCCAAGCACCCUUAACUGCGGAGUUCUGAUGGGACCCGGUGCAUUAGUGCUGGUAUGAUCGCAUGUGUUACUACAUGCAAUGUAAUCGUAUCUGUUCUUUUUUAAAGACUUUAUGAUCCAUUUGCCGUGGGUCCUACCAGCUAUGUAGGAAUACCCUACCUUCUUUAUAAGAGUUUUGAUACAUGCAUAAUAUUGGAAAACAAUGUCCGAAGAUAUAAUUUUCCCCCCGUAAUAUAGCAAAGAUCACGAAAAGGCCCGGAAGAGUACAUUAAGUUCAAAAUUUGGAGUAUAAAAAAAACCAAUAGAAGAAUUCCAUUUUACUUCCUUAGUCAUCGGAGAGCUCUCUUUGGGCUUUCCGAAAAGGUAUCACAUGCCAAGUUUGGCCUCACGGUCUAAAAGUUAUAGAGUCAAACAUUUUAAACAAAACAUAAUAGAGAAAAACGGGAAAAAAGAGGGAUGUAACACGAGGACUUUCCGGGAGGUCACCCAUCCUAGUACUACUCUUGCCCAAGCACCCUUAACUGCGGAGUUCUGAUGGGAUCCGGUGCAUUAGUGUUGGUAUGAUCGCAUGUGUUACUACAUGCAAUGUAAUCGUAUCUAUUCUUUUUAAAGACUUUAUGAUCCAUUUGCCGUGGGUCCCACCAGCUAUGUAGGAAUACCCUAUCUUCUUUAUAAGAGCUUUGAUACAUGCAAAAUAUUGGAAAACAAUGUCCGAACAUAUUAUUUUCCCCCCGUAAUAUAGCAAAGAUCACGAAAAGGCCCGAAAAUGUACAUUAAGUUCAAAAUUUGGAGUAGAAAAAAAAAACAAUAGAAGAAUUCCAUUUUCCUUCCUCAUUCAUCGGAGAGCUCUCUUUGGGCUUUCCGAAAAGGUAUAACAUUCCAAGUUUGGCCUCAUGGUCUCAAAGUUAUAAAGACAUACAUUUUUCACAAAAAAAAAUAAAGAAAAACCAAAAAAAAAAAAGAGGAAUGUAACACGAGGACUUUUUUGGGAGGUCACCCAUCCUAGUACUACUCUCGCCCAAGCACCCUUAACUGCGGAGUUCUGAUGGGAUCCGUUGCAUUAGUGCUGGUAUGAUCGCAUGUGUUACUACAUGCAAUGUAAUCGUAUCUAUUCUUUCUUAAAGACUUUAUGAUCCAUUUGCCGUGAGUCCCACCAGCUAUGUAGGAAUACCCUAUCUUCUUUAUAAGAGCUUUGAUACAUGCAAAAUAUUGGAAAAAAACGUCCGAACAUAUAGUUUUCCCCCCGUAAUAUAGUAAAGAUCACGAAAAGGCUCGAAAAAGUACAUUUAGUUCAAAAUUUGGAGUAGAAAAAAAAACAUUAGUAGAAUUCCAUUUCCCUUCCUCAGUCAUCGGAGAGCUCUCUCUGGGCUUUCCAAAAAGGUAUCACAUGCCAAGUUUGGCCUCACGGUCUAAAAGUUAUAGAGUCAUACAUUUUUAACAAUACAAAAUAGAGAAAAACCGAAAAAAAAGAGGGAUGCAACACGAGGACUUUCCGGGAGGUAAUCCAUCCUAGUACUACUCUCGCCUAAGCACCCUUAACUGCGGAGUUCUAAUGGAAUCCAGUGCAUUAGUGCGGGUAUGAUCGCAUGUGUUACUACAUGCAAUGUAAUCGUAUCUAUUCUUUUUUAAAGACUUUAUGAUCCAUUUGCCGUGGGUCCCACCAGCUAUGUAGGAAUACACUAUCUUCUUUAUAAGAGCUUUGAUAGAGGCAAAAUAUUGGAAAAAAACGUCCGAACAUAUAAUUUUCCCCACGUAAUAUAGCAAAGAUCACGAAAAUGCCCCAAAAAGUACAUUUAGUUCAAAAUUUGGAGUAGAAAAAAAAACAAUAGAAGAAUUACAUUUUCCUUCCUCACUCAUCGGAGAGCUCUCUUUGGGCUUUCCGAAAAGGUAUCACAUGCCAAGUUUGGUCUCACGGUCUAAGAGUUAUAGAGUCAUACAUUUUUAACAAUACAAAAUAGAGAAAAACCGAAAAAAAGAGGGAUGCAACACGAAGACUUUCCGGGAGGUAAUCCAUCCUAGUACUACUCUUGCCCAAGCACCCUUAACUGUGGAGUUCUGAUGGAAUCUGGUGCAUUAGUGCUGAUAUGAUCGCAUGUGUUACUACAUGCAAUGUAAUCGUAUCUAUUCUUUUUUAAAGACUUUAUGAUCCAUUUGCCGUGGGUCCCACCAGCUAUGUAGGAAUACCCUAUCUUCUUUAUAAGAGCUUUGAUACAUGCAAAAUAUAUGAAAAAAACGUCCGAACAUAUAAUUUUCCCCCCGUAAUAUAGCAAAGAUCACGAAAAGGCUCGAAAAAUUACAUUUAGUUCAAAAGUCCCCCGUAUGAUGUCAUUUGUUACUACAUGCAAUGCAAUCAUAUCUAUUCUUAUUUAAAGACUUUAUGAUCCAUUUGUCGUGGGUCCCACCUGUAGGAAUACCCUAUCUUGUUUAUAAAAGAUUUGAUACAUGCAAAAUACUCGAAAACAAUGUCCGAACAUAUAAUUUUCACCCCGUAAUAUAGCAAAGAUCACGAAAAGGCCCGAAAAAGUACAUUAAAGUCAAAAUUUGGAGUAGAAAAAAACCCAAUAGAAGUAUUCCAUUCUCCUUCGUCAUUCAUCGGAGAGCUCUCUUUAGGCUUUCCGAAAAGAUAUCACAUGCCAAGUUUGGCCUCACGGUUUAAAAGUUAUAGAGUCAUAGAUUUUUAACAAAACAAAAAGAGAAAAACCGAAAAAAAUUGGGAUGCAACACGAGGACUUUCCUGGAGGUCACCCAUCCUAGUACUACUCUCGCCCAAGCACCCUUAACUGCGUAGUUCUGAUGGGAUCCGAUGCUUUAGUGCUGGUAUGAUCGCAUCUGUUACUACAUGCAAUGUAAUCGUAUCUAUUCUUUUUUAAAGACUUUAUGAUCCAUUUGCCGUGGGUCCCACCAGCUAUGUAGGAAUACCCUAUCUUCUUUAUAAGAGCUUUGAUAAAUGCAAAAUAUUGGAAACCAAUGUCCGAACAUAUAAUUUCGCCCCCGUAAUAUAGCAAAGAUCACGAAAAAGCCCAAAAAAGUUCAUUUAGGUCAAAAUUUGAGCAGAAGAAAAAGAAAUAGAAGAAUUCCAUUUUCCUUCCUCAUUUAUUGGAGAGCUCUCUUUGGGCUUUCCGAAAAGGUAUCACAUGCCAAGUUUGGCCUCACGGUCUAAAAGUUAUAGAGUCAUACAUUUUUAACAAAAUGAAAUAGAGAAAAACCGAAAAAAAGAGGGAUGUAACACGAGGACUUUCCGGGAGGUAAUCUAUCCUACUACUACUCUCGGCCAAGCACCCUUAACUGCGGAGUUCUAAUGGGAUCCGGUGCAUUAGUGCUGGUAUGAUCGCAUGUGUUACUACAUGCAAUGUAAUCGUAUCUAUUCUUUUUUAAAGACUUUAUGAUCCAUUUGCCGUGGGUCCCACCAGCUAUGUAGGAAUACNNNNNNNNNNNNNNNNNNNNNNNNNNNNNNNNNNNNNNNNNNNNNNNNNNAUAUAAUGUUUGCCCCAAAAUAUAGCANAGACCACGAAAAUGCCAUAAAAAGUACAUUAAGGUCAAAAUUUGGAGUAGGAAAAAAAAUCAAUAGGAGAAUUCCAUUUUCCUUCCUCAUUCAUUGGAGAGCUCUCUUUGGGCAUUCCAAAAAGGUAUCACAUGCCAAGUUUGGCCUCACGGUCUAAAAGUUAUAGAGUAAUACAUUUUUAACAAAAAAAAAAGAGAAAAACCGAAAAAAAGAGGGAUGCAACACGAAGACUUUUCUGGAGGUCACCCAUCCUAGUACUACUCUCCCCCAAGCACGCUUAACUGUGGUGUUCUGAUAGGAUCAAGUGCAUUAGUGCUGGUAUGAUCGCAUCAGUUACUACAUGCAAUGCAAUCAUAUAUAUUCUUUUUUGAAGACUUUAUGAUCCAUUGUCGUAGGUCCCACCAGCUAUGUAGGAAUACCCUUUCUUGUUUAUAAGAGCUUUGAUACAUGCAAAAUAUUCGAAAACAAUGUCCGAACAUAUAAUUUUUGUCCCGUAAUAUAGCAAAGAUCACGAAAAGGCCAGAAAAAAUACAUUUCGGUCAAAAUUUGGAGUAGAAAAAAAGCCCUUCCUCAUUCAUUGGACAGCUCUCUUUGGGCUUUCCGAAAAGGUAUCACAUGCCAAGUUUGGCCUCACGGUCUAAACCUUAUAGACUCAUACAUUUUUCACAAAAAAAAGAAGAGAAAAGCCAAAAAAAAAGAGUGAUUAAACACGAGGACUUUCCUGGAGGUCACCCAUCCUAGUACUACUCUCGCCCAAGCACGCUUAACUGCGAAGUUCUGAUGGGAUCUGGUGCAUUAGUGCUGGUAUGAUCGCAUCUGUUACUACAUGCAAUGAAAUCGUAUCUAUUCUUUUUUGAAGAUUUUAUGAUUCAUUUACCGUGGGUCCCACCAGCUAUGUAGGAAUAACCUAUCUUAUUUAUAAGAUCUUUGAUACAUGCAAAAUAUUGGAAAACAAUGUCCGAACAUAUAAUGUUCGCCCCAAAAUAUAGCAAAGACCACAAAAAUGCCAUAAAAAGUACAUUAAGGUCAAAAUUUGGAGUAGGAAAAAAACCAAUAAGAGAAUUCCAUUUUCCUUCCCUCAUUCAUCGGAGAUCUCUCUUUGGGCAUUCCAAAAAGGUAUCACAUGCCAAGUUUGGCCUCACGGUCUAAAAGUUAUAGAGUAAUACAUUUUUAACAAAAAAAAAAGAGAAAAACCGAAAAAAAGAGGGAUGCAACACGAAGACUUUUCUGGAGGUCACCCAUCCUAGUACUACUCUCCCCCAAGCACGCUUAACUGUGGUGUUCUGAUAGGAUCAAGUGCAUUAGUGCUGGUAUGAUCGCAUCAGUUACUACAUGUAAUGCAAUCAUAUAUAUUCUUUUUUGAAGACUUUAUGAUCCAUUUGCCGUAGGUCCCACCAGCUAUGUAGGAAUACCCUAUCUCGUUUAUAAGAGCUUUGAUACAUGCAAAAUAUUCGAAAACAAUGUCCGAACAUAUAAUGUUUGCCCCAAAAUAUAGCAAAGACCACGAAAAUGCCAUAAAAAGUACAUUAAGGUCAAAAUUUGGAGUAGGAAAAAAAAUCAAUAGGAGAAUUCCAUUUUCCUUCCUCAUUCAUCGGAGAGCUCUCUUUGGGCAUUCCAAAAAGGUAUGACAUGCCAAGUUUGGCCUCACGGUCUAAAAGUUAUAGAGUAAUACAUUUUUAACAAAAAAAAAAGAGAAAAACCGAAAAAAAGAGGGAUGCAACACGAAGACUUUUCUGGAGGUCAUCCAUCCUAGUACUACUCUCCCCCAAGCACGCUUAACUGUGGUGUUCUGAUAGGAUCAAGUGCAUUAGUGCUGGUAUGAUCGCAUCAGUUACUACAUGCAAUGCAAUCAUAUAUAUUCUUUUUUGAAGACGUUAUGAUCCAUUUGCCGUAGGUCCCACCAGCUAUGUAGGAAUACCCUAUCUUGUUUAUAAGAGCUUUGAUACAUGCAAAAUAUUCGAAAACAAUGUCCGAACAUAUAAUUUUUGUCCCGUAAUAUAGCAAAGAUCACGAAAAGGCCAGAAAAAAUACAUUUUGGUCAAAAUUUGGAGUAGAAAAAAAACCCUUCCUCAUUCAUUGGACAGCUCUCUUUGGGCUUUCCGAAAAGGUAUCACAUGCCAAGUUUGGCCUCACGGUCUAAAAGUUAUAGAGUCAUACAUUUUUCACAAAAAAAAGAAGAGAAAAACCAAAAAAAAGAGUGAUGAAACACGAGGACUUUCCUGGAGGUCACCCAUCCUAGUACUACUCUCGCCCAAGCACGCUUCACUGCGAAGUUCUGAUGGGAUCUGGUGCAUUAGUGCUGGUAUGAUCGCAUCUGUUACUACAUGCAAUGCAAUCAUAUCUAUUCUUUUUUGAAGAUUUUAUGAUUCAUUUACCGUGGGUCCCACCAGCUAUGUAGGAAUAACCUAUCUUAUUUAUAAGAGCUUUGAUACAUGCAAAAUAUUGGAAAACAAUGUCCGAACAUAUAAUGUUCGCCCCAAAAUAUAGCAAAGACAACAAAAAUGCCAUAAAAAGAAAAUUAAGGUCAAAAUUUUGAGUAGGAAAAAAAUCAAUAAGAGAAUUCCAUUUUCCUUCCCUCAUUCAUCGGAGAUCUCUCUUUGGGCAUUCCAAAAAGGUAUCACAUGCCAAGUUUGGCCUCACGGUCUAAAAGUUAUAGAGUAAUACAUUUUUAACAAAAAAAGAAGAGAAAAACCGAAAAAAAGAGGGAUGCAACACGAAGACUUUUCUGGAGGUCACCCAUCCUAGUACUACUCUCCCCCAAGCACGCUUAACUGUGGUGUUCUGAUAGGAUCAAGUGCAUUAGUGCUGGUAUGAUCGCAUCAGUUACUACAUGUAAUGCAAUCAUAUAUAUUCUUUUUUGAAGACUUUAUGAUCCAUUUGCCGUACGUCCCACCAGCUAUGUAGGAAUACCCUAUCUCGUUUAUUAGAGCUUUGAUACAUGCAAAAUAUUCGAAAACAAUGUCCGAACAUAUAAUGUUUGCCCCAAAAUAUAGAAAAGACCACGAAAAUGCCAUAAAAAGUACAUUAAGGUCAAAAUUUGGAGUAGGAAAAAAAAUCAAUAGGAGAAUUCCAUUUUCCUUCCUCAUUCAUCGGAGAGCUCUCUUUGGGCAUUCCAUAAAGGUAUCACAUGCCAAGUUUGGCCUCACGGUCUAAAAGUUAUAGAGUAAUACAUUUUUAACAAAAAAAAAAGAGAAAAACCGAAAAAAAGAGGGAUGCAACACGAAGACUUUUCUGGAGGUCACCCAUCCUAGUACUACUCUCCCACAAGCACGCUUAACUGUGGUGUUCUGAUAGGAUCAAGUGCAUUAGUGCUGGUAUGAUCGCAUCAGUUACUACAUGUAAUGCAAUCAUAUAUAUUCUUUUUUGAAGACUUUAUGAUCCAUUUGCCGUAGGUCCCACCAGUUAUGUAGGAAUACCCUAUCUCGUUUAUAAGAGCUUUGAUACAUGCAAAAUAUUCGAAAACAAUGUCCGAACAUAUAAUGUUUGCCCCAAAAUAUAGCAAAGACCACGAAAAUGCCAUAAAAAGUACAUUAAGGUCAAAAUUUGGAGUAGGAAAAAAAAUCAAUAGGAGAAUUCCAUUUUCCUUCCUCAUUCAUGGGAGAGCUCUCUUUGGGCAUUCCAAAAAGGUAUCACAUGCCAAGUUUGGCCUCACGGUCUAAAAGUUAUAGAGUAAUACAUUUUUAACAAAAAAAAAAGAGAAAAACCGAAAAAAAGAGGGAUGCAACACGAAGACUUUUCUGGAGGUCACCCAUCCUAGUACUACUCUCCCCCAAGCACGCUUAACUGUGGUGUUCUGAUAGGAUCAAGUGCAUUAGUGCUGGUAUGAUCGCAUCAGUUACUACAUGCAAUGCAAUCAUAUAUAUUCUUUUUUGAAGACGUUAUGAUCCAUUUGCCGUAGGUCCCACCAGCUAUGUAGGAAUACCCUAUCCUGUUUAUAAGAGCUUUGAUAUAUGCAAAAUAUUCAAAAACAAUGUCCGAACAUAUAAUUUUUGUCCCGUAAUAUAGCAAAGAUCACGAAAAGGCCAGAAAAAAUAAAUUUCGGUCAAAAUUUGGAGUAGAAAAAAAACCCUUCCUCAUUCAUUGGACAGCUCUCUUUGGGCUUUCCGAAAAGGUAUCACAUGCCAAGUUUGGCCUCACGGUCUAAACCUUAUAGACUCAUACAUUUUUUACAAAAAAAAGAAGAGAAAAACCAAAAAAAAGAGUGAUUAAACACGAGGACUUUCCUGGAGGUCACCCAUCCUAGUACUACUCUCGCCCAAGCACGCUUAACUGCGAAGUUCUUAUGGGAUCUGGUGCAUUAGUGCUGGUAUGAUCGCAUCUGUUACUACAUGCAAUGCAAUUGUAUCUAUUCUUUUUUGAAGAUUUUAUGAUUCAUUUACCGUGGGUCCCACCAGCUAUGUAGGAAUAACCUAUCUGAUUUAUAAAAGCUUUGAUACAUGCAAAAUAUUCGAAAACAAUGUCCGAACAUAUAAUGUUCGCCCCAAAAUAUAGCAAAGACCGUAAAAAUGCCAUAAAAAGUACAUUAAGGUCAAAAUUUGGAGUAGGAAAAAAAAUCAAUAGGAGAAUUCCAUUUUCCUUCCCUCAUUCAUCGAAGAGCUCUCUUUGGGCAUUCCAAAAAGGUAUCACAUGCCAAGUUUGGCCUCACGGUCUAAAAGUUAUAGAGUAUUACAUUUUUAACAAAAAAAAAAGAGAAAAACCGAUAAAAAGAGGGAUGCAACACGAAGACUUUUCUGGAGGUCACCAAUCCUAGUACUACUCUCCCCCAAGCACGCUUAACUGUGGUGUUCUGAUAGGAUCAAGUGCAUUAGUGCUGGUAUGAUCGCAUCAGUUACUACAUGCAAUGCAAUCAUAUAUAUUCUGUUUUGAAGACUUUAUGAUCCAUUUGUCGUAGGUCCCACCAGCUAUGUAGGAAUACCCUUUCUUGUUUAUAAGAGCUUUGAUACAUGCAAAAUAUUCGAAAACAAUGUCCGAACAUAUAAUUUUUGUCCCGUAAUAUAGCAAAGAUCACGAAAAGGCCAGAAAAAAUACAUUUCGGUCAAAAUUUGGAGUAGAAAAAAAGCCCUUCCUCAUUCAUUGGACAGCUCUCUUUGGGCUUUCCGAAAAGGUAUCACAUGCCAAGUUUGGCCUCACGGUCUAAACCUUAUAGACUCAUACAUUUUUCACAAAAAAAAGAAGAGAAAAACCAAAAAAAAAGAGUGAUUAAACACGAGGACUUUCCUGGAGGUCACCCAUCCUAGUACUACUCUCGCCCAAGCACGCUUAACUGCGAAGUUCUGAUGGGAUCUGGUGCAUUAGUGCUGGUAUGAUCGCAUCUGUUACUACAUGCAAUGAAAUCGUAUCUAUUCUUUUUUGAAGAUUUUAUGAUUCAUUUACCGUGGGUCCCACCAGCUAUGUAGGAAUAACCUAUCUCGUUUAUAAGAGCUUUGAUACAUGCAAAAUAUUCGAAAACAAUGUCCGAACAUAUAAUGUUUGCCCCAAAAUAUAGAAAAGACCACGAAAAUGCCAUAAAAAGUACAUUAAGGUCAAAAUUUGGAGUAGGAAAAAAAAUCAAUAGGAGAAUUCCAUUUUCCUUCCUCAUUCAUCGGAGAGCUCUCUUUGGGCAUUCCAUAAAGGUAUCACAUGCCAAGUUUGGCCUCACGGUCUAAAAGUUAUAGAGUAAUACAUUUUUAACAAAAAAAAAAGAGAAAAACCGAAAAAAAGAGGGAUGCAACACGAAGACUUUUCUGGAGGUCACCCAUCCUAGUACUACUCUCCCACAAGCACGCUUAACUGUGGUGUUCUGAUAGGAUCAAGUGCAUUAGUGCUGGUAUGAUCGCAUCAGUUACUACAUGUAAUGCAAUCAUAUAUAUUCUUUUUUGAAGACUUUAUGAUCCAUUUGCCGUAGGUCCCACCAGUUAUGUAGGAAUACCCUAUCUCGUUUAUAAGAGCUUUGAUACAUGCAAAAUAUUCGAAAACAAUGUCCGAACAUAUAAUGUUUGCCCCAAAAUAUAGCAAAGACCACGAAAAUGCCAUAAAAAGUACAUUAAGGUCAAAAUUUGGAGUAGGAAAAAAAAUCAAUAGGAGAAUUCCAUUUUCCUUCCUCAUUCAUGGGAGAGCUCUCUUUGGGCAUUCCAAAAAGGUAUCACAUGCCAAGUUUGGCCUCACGGUCUAAAAGUUAUAGAGUAAUACAUUUUUAACAAAAAAAAAAGAGAAAAACCGAAAAGAAGAGGGAUGCAACACGAAGACUUUUCUGGAGGUCAUCCAUCCUAGUACUACUCUCGCCCAAGCACACUUAACUGCGGUGUUCUGAUAGGAUCAAGUGCAUUAGUGCUGGUAUGAUCGCAUCAGUUACUACAUGCAAUGCAAUCUUAUAUAUUCUUUUUUGAAGACUUUAUGAUCCAUUUGCCGUCGGUCCCACCAGCUAUGUAGGAAUACCCUAUCUUGUUUAUAAGAGCUUUGAUAUAUGCAAAAUAUUCAAAAAUAAUGUCCGAACAUAUAAUUUUUGUCCCGUAAUAUAGCAAAGAUCACGAAAAGGCCAGAAAAAAUAAAUUUCGGUCAAAAUUUGGAGUAGAAAAAAAACCCUUCCUCAUUCAUUGGACAGCUCUCUUUGGGCUUUCCGAAAAGGUAUCACAUGCCAAGUUUGGCCUCACGGUCUAAACCUUAUAGACUCAUACAUUUUUUACAAAAAAAAGAAGAGAAAAACCAAAAAAAAGAGUGAUUAAACACGAGGACUUUCCUGGAGGUCACCCAUCCUAGUACUACUUUCGCCCAAGCACGCUUAACUGCGAAGUUCUUAUGGGAUCUGGUGCAUUAGUGCUGGUAUGAUCGCAUCUGUUACUACAUGCAAUGCAAUUGUAUCUAUUCUUUUUUGAAGAUUUUAUGAUUCAUUUACCGUGGGUCCCACCAGCUAUGUAGGAAUAACCUAUCUGAUUUAUAAAAGCUUUGAUACAUGCAAAAUAUUCGAAAACAAUGUCCGAACAUAUAAUGUUCGCCCCAAAAUAUAGCAAAGACCGUAAAAAUGCCAUAAAAAGUACAUUAAGGUCAAAAUUUGGAGUAGGAAAAAAAUCAAUAGGAGAAUUCCAUUUUCCUUCCCUCAUUCAUCGGAGAGCUCUCUUUGGGCAUUCCAAAAAGGUAUCACAUGCCAAGUUUGGCCUCACGGUCUAAAAGUUAUAGAGUAUUACAUUUUUAACAAAAAAAAAAGAGAAAAGCCGAUAAAAAGAGGGAUGCUACACGAAGACUUUUCUGGAGGUCACCAAUCCUAGUACUACUCUCCCCCAAGCACGCUUAACUGUGGUGUUCUGAUAGGAUCAAGUGCAUUAGUGCUGGUAUGAUCGCAUCAGUUACUACAUGCAAUGCAAUCAUAUAUAUUCUGUUUUGAAGACUUUAUGAUCCAUUUGUCGUAGGUCCCACCAGCUAUGUAGGAAUACCCUUUCUUGUUUAUAAGAGCUUUGAUACAUGCAAAAUAUUCGAAAACAAUGUCCGAACAUAUAAUUUUUGUCCCGUAAUAUAGCAAAGAUCACGAAAAGGCCAGAAAAAAUACAUUUCGGUCAAAAUUUGGAGUAGAAAAAAAGCCCUUCCUCAUUCAUUGGACAGCUCUCUUUGGGCUUUCCGAAAAGGUAUCACAUGCCAAGUUUGGCCUCACGGUCUAAACCUUAUAGACUCAUACAUUUUUCACAAAAAAAAGAAGAGAAAAACCAAAAAAAAAGAGUGAUUAAACACGAGGACUUUCCUGGAGGUCACCCAUCCUAGUAAUACUCUCGCCCAAGCACGCUUAACUGCGAAGUUCUGAUGGGAUCUGGUGCAUUAGUGCUGGUAUGAUCGCAUCUAUUACUACAUGCAAUGAAAUCGUAUCUAUUCUUUUUUGAAGAUUUUAUGAUUCAUUUACCGUGGGUCCCACCAGCUAUGUAGGAAUAACCUAUCUUAUUUAUAAGAUCUUUGAUACAUGCAAAAUAUUGGAAAACAAUGUCCGAACAUAUAAUGUUCGCCCCAAAAUAUAGCAAAGACCACAAAAAUGCCAUAAAAAGUACAUUAAGGUCAAAAUUUGGAGUAGGAAAAAAACCAAUAAGAGAAUUCCAUUUUCCUUCCCUCAUUCAUCGGAGAUCUCUCUUUGGGCAUUCCAAAAAGGUAUCACAUGCCAAGUUUGGCCUCACGGUCUAAAAGUUAUAGAGUAAUACAUUUUUAACAAAAAAAAAAAGAGAAAAACCGAAAAAAAGAGGGAUGCAACACGAAGACUUUUCUGGAGGUCACCCAUCCUAGUACUACUCUCCCCCAAGCACGCUUAACUGUGGUGUUCUGAUAGGAUCAAGUGCAUUAGUGCUGGUAUGAUCGCAUCAGUUACUACAUGUAAUGCAAUCAUAUAUAUUCUUUUUUGAAGACUUUAUGAUCCAUGUGCCGUAGGUCCCACCAGCUAUGUAGGAAUACCCUAUCUCAUUUAUAAGAGCUUUGAUACAUGCAAAAUAUUCGAAAACAAUGUCCGAACAUAUAAUGUUUGCCCCAAAAUAUAGCAAAGACCACGAAAAUGCCAUAAAAAGUACAUUAAGGUCAAAAUUUGGAGUAGGAAAAAAAAUCAAUAGGAGAAUUCCAUUUUCCUUCCUCAUUCAUCGGAGAGCUCUCUUUGGGCAUUCCAAAAAGGUAUCACAUGGCAAGUUUGGCCUCACGGUCUAAAAGUUAUAGAGUAAUACAUUUUUAACAAAAAAAAAAGAGAAAAACCGAAAAAAAGAGGGAUGCAACACGAAGACUUUUCUGGAGGUCACCCAUCCUAGUACUACUCUCCCCCAAGCACGCUUAACUGUGGUGUUCUGAUAGGAUCAAGUGCAUUAGUGCUGGUAUGAUCGCAUCAGUUACUACAUGCAAUGCAAUCAUAUAUAUUCUUUUUUGAAGACGUUAUGAUCCAUUUGCCGUAGGUCCCACCAGCUAUGUAGGAACACCCUAUCUUGUUUAUAAGAGCUUUGAUACAUGCAAAAUAUUCGAAAACAAUGUCCGAACAUAUAAUUUUUGUCCCGUAAUAUAGCAAAGAUCACGAAAAGGCCAGAAAAAAUACAUUUCGGUCAAAAUUUGGAGUAGAAAAAAAACCCUUCCUCAUUCAUUGGACAGCUCUCUUUGGGCUUUCCGAAAAGGUAUCACAUGCCAAGUUUGGCCUCACGGUCUAAAAGUUAUAGAGUCAUACAUUUUUCACAAAAAAAGCAAGAGAAAAACAAAAAAAAAGAGUGAUGAAACACGAGGACUUUCCUGGAGGUCACCCAUCCUAGUACUACUCUCGCCCAAGCACGCUUAACUGCGAAGUUCUGAUGGGAUCUGGUGCAUUAGUGCUGGUAUGAUCGCAUCUGUUACUACAUGCAAUGCAAUCGUAUAUAUUCUUUUUUGAAGACUUUAUGAUCCAUUUGUCGUAGGUCCCACCAGUUAUGUAGGAAUACCCUAUCUCGUUUAUAAGAGCUUUGAUACAUGCAAAAUAUUCGAAAACAAUGUCCGAACAUAUAAUGUUUGCCCCAAAAUAUAGCAAAGACCACGAAAAUGCCAUAAAAAGUACAUUAAGGUCAAAAUUUGGAGUAGGAAAAAAAAUCAAUAGGAGAAUUCCAUUUUCCUUCCUCAUUCAUUGGAGAGCUCUCUUUGGGCAUUCCAAAAAGGUAUCACAUGCCAAGUUUGGCCUCACGGUCUAAAAGUUAUAGAGUAAUACAUUUUUAACAAAAAAAAAAGAGAAAAACCGAAAAAAAGAGNNNNNNNNNNNNNNNNNNNNNNNNNNNNNNNNNNNNNNNNNNNNNNNNNNUCAUACAUUUUUAACAAAACAAAUAGAGAAAAACCGAAAAAAAGAAUGAUACAACACAAGGACUUUCCGGGAGGUCACCCAUCCUAAUACUAUUCUCGCCCAAGCAAGCUUAACUGCAGAGUAUUGAUGGGAUCUGAUGCAUAAGGGCUGAUAUGAUCGCAUCCGUUACUACAAGCAAUGCAAUCGUAUCUAUUCGUUUUUGAAGACUUUAUGAUCCAUUUGCCGUGGGUCCCACCAGCUAUGUAGGAAUACCCUAUCUUGUUUAUAAGAGCUUUGAUACAUGCAAAAAAUUGGAAAACAAUGUCUGAACAUAUAAUUUUUGUCCCGUAAUAUAGCAAAGAUCACGAAAAGGAUAGAAAAAGUACAUUAAGGUCAAAAUUUUGAGUAGAAAAAAAAUCAAUAGAAGGAUUCCAAUUUCCUUCCUCAUUCAUAUAGCUCUCUUUGGGCUUUCCGAAAAGGUAUCACAUGCAAAGUUUGGCCUCGCGGUCUAAAAGUUAUAGAGGUAUACAUUUUUACCAAAAAAAAGAGGGAUUCAACACGAGGACUUUCUGGGAGGUCACUCAUCCUAUUACUACUCUCGCCCAAGCACACUUAACUGCGGAGUUCUGAUAGGAUCCAGUGCAUUAGUGCGGGUAUGAUCACAUCCGUUACUACAUGCAAUGCAAUCGUAUAUAUUUUUUUUGAAGACUUUAUGAUCCAUUUGCCGUGGGUCUCACCAGCUAUGUAGGAAUACCCUAUCUUGUUUGUAAGAGCUUUGAUACAUGCAAAAUAUUCGAAAACAAUGUCAGAACGUAUGCUUUUUGCCCCGUAAUAUAGCAUAGAUCAUGAAAAGGCCAGAAAAAGUACAUUAAGGUCAAAAUUUUGAGUAGAAAAAAAAACAAUAGAAAAAUUCCAUUGUCCUUCCUCAUUCAUCGGAGAGUUCUCUUUGGGCUUUCCGAAAAGGUAUCACAUGCCAAGUUUGGCCUCACGGUCUAAAACUUAUAGAAUCAUACAUUCUUAACAAAAAAAAAAGAGAAAAACCGAAAAAAAGAAGAAUGCAACACAAGGACUUUCCAUGAGGUCAACCAUCCUAGUACUACUCUCGCCCAAUCACGCUUAACUGCAGAGUUUUGAUGGGAUCCGGUGCAUUAGUGCUGGUAUGAUCGCAUCUGUUACUACAUGCAAUGCAAUCGUAUCUAUUCUUUUUUGAAGACUUUAUGAUCCAUUUGUCGUGGGUCCCACCAACUAUGUAAGAAUACCCUAUCUUGUUUAUAAGAGCUUUGAUACAUGCAAAAUAUUCGAAAACAAUGUCAGAACGUAUGCUUUUUGCCCCGUAAUAUAGCAUAGAUCAUGAAAAGGCCAGAAAAAGUACAUUAAGGUCAAAAUUUUGAGUAGAAAAAAAAACAAUAGAAAAAUUCCAUUGUCCUUCCUCAUUCAUCGGAGAGUUCUCUUUGGGCUUUCCGAAAAGGUAUCACAUGCCAAGUUUGGCCUCACGGUCUAAAAUUUAUAGAGUCAUACAUUUUUAACAAAAAAAAAAGAGAAAAACCGAAAAAAGAGGGAUGGAACACAAGGACUUUCCGGGAGGUCACCCAUUCUAGUACUACUCUCACCCAAGCGCGCUUAACUGUGGAGUUCUGAUGGGAUCCAGUGCAUUAGUGAUGGUAUGAUCGCAUCCGUUACUACAUGCAAUGCAAUAAUAUCUUUUCUUCUUGAAGACUUUAUGAUCCAUUUGUCGUGGGUCCCACCAGCUAUGUAGGAAUACCCUAUCUUGUUUAUAAGAGCUUUGAUACAUGCAAAAUAUUCAAAAACAAUGUCCGAACAUAUAAUUUUCGCCCCGUAAUAUAGCAAAGAUCGCGAAAACGCCAAAAGAGUACAUUAAGGUCAAAAUUUGGAGUAGAAAAAAAACCCAAUAGAAGAAUUCCAUUUUCCUUCAUCAUUCACCAGAGAGCUCUCUUUUGGCUUUUUGAAAAGGUAUCACAUGCCAAGUUUGGCCUCACGGUCUAAAAGUUAUAGAGUCAUUCAUUUUAAAAAAAAAAAUAGAGAAAAACCAAAAAAAAAAAGAGGGAUGAAACACGAGGACUUUCCGGGAGGUCACCCAUCCUAGUACUACUCUCGCCCAAGCACACUUAACUGCGGAGUUCUUAUGGGAUCUGGUGCAUUAGUGCUGCUAUGAUCGCAUCCGUUACUACAUGCAAUGCAAUCGUAUCUAUUCUUUUUUGAAGACUUUAUGAUCCAUUUGCUGUGGGUCCUGAUAUGUCUAUAAUUUACAUCUUUUCAGUGUCCAUUCAUCACCGUUUUGAGUCCAGUUUUGUAUCAUUCAUCGCUGUUUUAUAUCAUUUCUCAUCAUUCUUGCAUACUUUGCAUGAUUAGGAUAGUUUUGCAUACAUAUUGCAUUUCUAAGUUGUUUUCAGGUGAUUUGGAGCUGUUUGCGAGCAAAUUGGAAGAAACGAGCCAGAACCAGAAGACAUACUCGACCACCAGGUCGUGUGCAUCCAGCACCAUACUCGACCCCCUGGUCGAGUGACUUUGGAGCCAUUCUUCCCAUCUACUCGACCCCCUAGUCGAGUAUCCUCAGCUCAGGCUACUCGAUGACGCCAUCGACCCCCUGGUCGAGUAUCACUUCGCCACACCACCUGACCACACUCGGCCAUUCACUCUACCAAGUUAGUCGACCCCCUGGUCGAGUAUCAUCACUCACCACCAUCACCAUCACUCGACCGGACACUCGAUCACGUCUUCACAGUCUACUCAAAUCCGCACUCAACCAGACAAGCUGAGCACAAGGAAGAGAAGAGGAGAAGACAAAGUGUUUGGAAGCGGCCUGGACCUCCAUCGGAUCACAAAGCCCAUCUCGGCCCAUUAUCACUCUAUUGGUCGGGCGAUUAGGUUAUUGGCCCGUCUACUAUCAUUUUGUUUUGUAUAAAUAGAUGUCUUAGGGUUCUUUCCUGAGACAUCUAGUCGACAUUGAGUUUUUGUUUCAGUUUUAUUUUCUAUUUUACUCUUCUGCGCCGCUUUUGCUUCUACAACCUAUAAUUCGAGAUUUUUCCAAGUUAUUCAGAUUCUGCAUUUGAUUUUAUCUAUCAUCCUGUUUCUCUACUCUUUAUCUCUUUACUUAUGCAAUAUUAUCAUUUAUCUGCGUUUAUGUCUUUGAGCAUGUUGUCUGAGUAGUGACAUAGAAUUCUUAGGGAUGGGAUAGAGUAGUUGUGGAAUCCGUAGUCUGUAGAAUGGUUAAGUUUUAGAAUUGAUUGAAUCCCUUCAGGACUAGUUGCGUUUACUGCUUAUUUCUUUCUGAUCAACUGGAAUUCGAUCCCAAGCAUUCUCGCACCCAGAAGGUGUUCGAUGGAAUGCUUGAUCCACUAGUUCCUGAGAUAUUCGUCUCUAUCCCAAGGGAUUGGGCGUUUAGAGCGUUUAUUGACUUUAUCAGUCUGUUCUUAUUGCCUGCAUAGUUAGAUUGCGUUAAUGGGAAUUAGUCUGGGCUAGCUUUGCUUGAGGAUUUCUAUCACAGAAGUGAAUUGAUUUGUUGUUGAACCUAUUGUCUAGGGAUAGCUUGAUUGCGCUUGUUAACCAUUCGAAUAUGCUAGGAUAUGAUAAGGUCUGACCCUAUCGAAGACAAGAAAAAGACUAAGAGUGAUAAAAUAACAAGAUAAUAGGAAAUGCACCUUGAACGGCGGAGAGUGUAGAUGAGAGAGAGAAUUUCAAGAUUAAUGUUGUUGAUUGUUUAUUUUGAUAACAAAACCCUAAAAGGGAAGGUUCCUUAAAUAGCAUCUACUGAGACUCAAUACAAAACGCAGCAUUUCGAUAACCCAAAAGUAAAACGACACAGUUGGCGAGCUGUCUUUCUGUGCCGAGCUGGCGAGCUGUCUUUCUGUGCCUUAGCCACUUUUAAAUAGAAGCUUCCUCAGGAACUUCUCACGAGCUCUGCCUUUCCUUCCAUUUGAUUUCGCCCUUCUUCUCACACCAGCCAACGUCACCUGUAACCUAUCAAUGCUCCCGCGCAGAAGACUGACCUUGUCCUCAAGGUCGAAGUCCGGGUACUGCUGCACCAAAGUGAGGAGCGGCUCCCAAGUUGAUUCCAAGGUUGAUAAUCCAGACCACUGUACCAGCACCUCUGGUCCUGAAUUUGUGUUGCUCUGUCGGAUAUCUAGCAGCUUCUCAGGUCCUGUGUUCCAUUCCAGUGUGGGUGAUAGUAUCUUGGGAAGUUCCUGCGGGGUGAAUGACGGAGGUACAGCCCUUUUCAGUUGAGAGACAUGGAACACCGGGUGAAUUGUGCUGUGUUCGGGUAGUUGGAGCUUGUAAGCGACCUGACCUAUGCGGUGCAGCACUUUAAAUGGACCGAAGUAGCGCUGGGACAGCUUUUCAUUCUUCCUAUGAGCCACAGAACUUUGCCUAUAAGGACGCAGCUUCAAGUAAACCCAUUCAUCAAUUUCAAACGCUACAUCACGUCGACUUUUAUCAGCAGCCUUUUUCAUUUGAGCUUGAGCUAUCUCCAAGUUCUCUCUUAAUUCAACCAGCAUUCCAUCCUUAUCCUUAAGUAACUCCUCUACAUUCGCAUUAUUGGUUGGAAUAUCGCCAUACCUGAGCAGAACUGGUGGUUCUCUACCAUAGACUGCUUGAAAGGGAGUGGUUUUGGUGGCUGAAUGGUACGAGGUGUUGUACCAGUAUUCUGCCCAAGGUAACCACUGAAACCACGAUGUAGGCCUCCUCCCUGCAAAGCAUCGCAAAUAAGACUCAAGACAUCUGUUAACAACCUCGGUCUGCCCAUCAGUUUGUGGGUGAUAGGCUGUACUCUUCUGUAGCCCCGUGCCCUGCAGCUUAAACAACUCAGACCAGAAUCCGCUCAGGAAAAUCCUGUCCCUGUCCGAAACCAGUGUGUUUGGGAAGCCAUGUAGCUUGACUACAUCUCUUAUGAAGGCCUCAACUACAGUCUUGGCAGUGAAUGGAUGUUUAAGUGGAAUGAAAUGACUAUACUUACUUAAUCUAUCCACCACUACCAAUAUACAGUUAAACCUGUUAGAGCUUGGCAACCCUUCUACAAAGUCCAAGCUGACAUCACUCCAAAUCUGUUGUGGAAUAGGGAGAGGUGAUAGUAAACCGGCUGGAGAGAGGGUAGAGUAUUUAUUCUCUUGACAGAUUUGGCAUCCCUUGAUGUAGUUAACCACGUCUUUCCGCAACCCUCUCCAGUAUACUUCACUUGUGAGUCGUUUGAAUGUCUUAAGGGCACCUUCAUGACCUCCAAUAGGACUGGUGUGGAACUUCUCUAGCAUCUUUGGAAUGAAGGGAGAUCCUACAGGAAUUACCAAACAGCCUUUUCUGUAAAUCAAGCCAUCUGCCACAGUGAAGUCAGAAUCAUGGUGGUCCCCUUGUGCCCAGUUCUUAAGUAUCUGGCUCAACUCAUGAUCCUGCUGAAUUUCUGCCUUUAGUGCAGUCAAGUCGAUAGUAGGAGGACCAGUUAUAGUGAGCUGUGAGAGAGCCUCAGUUGGAGGUCUCCUUGAGAGUGCAUCAGCUACCUUAUUGUCAACUCCUGGUUUAUAUUCGAUCCUAUACUUCAGUCCACUCAACUUAGACGCCCAUCUCUGCUGUAUUGUGGACACCGACUUCUGUUCCAACAAAUGUCUGAGGCUGCGUUGAUCUGUCUUGAUAAUGAAUUCUUUACUUGAUAGGUAAUGCUUCCACUUUGUGACAGCUUUCACUAUGGCUAACAGUUCACGUUCAUAAACUGACCUUAUUCUGCCUUGACUGGAGAAGGCUUGGCUGAGAAAUGCAAUAAGCCUCUUAUUCUGUGACAGUACUGCUCCAAUCCCCAUCCCUGAUGCAUCCGUUUCCACAGUAAACUCCUGCUGGAAAUCUGGUAACACUAGCACAGGUAGUGCUGAAACAGCUGCUUUGAGAGCCUGAAAUGCAGAAGUAGCUGCCUCAUUCCAAUCAAAACUGUUCUUUUUUAACUGAUCUCUGAGUGGUCUGGCGAUUUGGCCGUAAUUCUUGACAAAUCGGCGAUAGUAGCCAGUGAAUCCUAGGAAGCCUCUUAACUCAGUCACAGAUUUAGGUAAAGGCCACUGGAGCAUUGCUUCCACCUUUUCUGGAUCUGUUGCGACUCCUUGCUCAGAGAUAAUGUGUCCCAAAUAUGAGAUCCUAGUGCUUCCAAAUGUGCACUUUUUAAAAUUGGCAUAGAACUGAUGAAGAUGCAGUAGCUGUAAGACGGUUUCCAAAUGCUUCAAAUGUGUCUUCAUAUCAGGACUAUAAACUAGUAUAUCAUCGAAGAAAACCAAGACGAACUUUCGCAAGUAUGGCCUGAAUAGGUCAUUCAUGACGCUUUGAAAGGUGGAGGGGGCGUUGGUCAAGCCAAAUGGCAUUACCAGAAAUUCAUAAUGGCCCUCAUGUGUCUUGAAGGCAGUCUUCUCCACAUCACUCAGUUUCAUCCUUAUCUGGAAAUAGCCUGAUUUAAGAUCCAACUUUGAAAACACUGUGGCUCCUUUCAGUUCAUCCAAUAGCUCUUCUAUAACAGGAAUCGGAUACUUAUCGGGUAUUGUAGCUUCAUUCAAUGCUCGAUAAUCAACGCAGAAGCGCCAUCCUCCAUCUUUCUUUUUCACUAGGAGAACUGGACUUGAAUAUGGACUCACGCUAGGUCUUAUAAUCUGAGCAUUCAACAUUUCACGCACAAGCUUCUCUAUCUCAUUCUUUUGAGCAAAAGAAUACCUGUAUGGUCGGAUAUUGACUGGUGAAGACCCUUCUUGUAAGGUAAUGGCGUGUUCUCUGUUGCGAACUGGUGGCAAUAGCUGUGGAGUUUGAAAAACCCCUUGGUACUGAUCCAAAAGCCUCUGGAUUGCAGGCUGCAAGGCUGUUUGCUCUUCCUGUUUCUUGCUUUCAAACAAAGAUGCUAGUUCCAAGAGAUAUGCAGUUCCAGUGUAUUUGAUAACUCUUUCCAUAGACCUCAUCGAAAUUUGUCCUCUACAUAGAUCCGGGUCGCCGUAUAAGGAUACCCAUGUGCGACCUAUCUGCCAACUGAUCCUCAAAUCUCUCCAGUUGGCUCUUGUUUCUCCUAGUCCUGCCAACCAAGAAAAUCCCAGAACCAAAUCCAAAUCUCCCAAGUCAAAUAAGUAGUAGUCUUGUACAAACUCAAUUCCUUGGACCUCUAGUGGUAUAUCGACACACUUCCCACUACUUUUGAUGAUUCUGCCUCCACCAACUUUAACUCCAAAACUGCGAGUUUGAGUCACUAACCAUCCUUUCUCUCUUACCAAAGCCUCACUAAUGAAGUUGCAAGUUGCUCCUGAAUCAACCAAUAACACCACUUUGGUGUUGCCAAUGUAUCCCCUCAUUUUCAUUGACUGCUCUUGAGACUCAUCAUUCAAGGAGCUGAGUGUCAUUACCUUGAAACCUUCUGCAGGUUCUGGAUCCCCUUCUUCUUCUGUCAGUGGUUCAUUCAACUCUUCAAUUAGAGGACUCUCCUCUUCAACCUCUUCUGUUAUGGCUAGACCCUUGAGCUUUUGUGGUUUGCAUUUAUGGCCUUGAAACCAUCUAUCUCCACAGUAGCGGCACGGGUUUGAGUUCCUGGCUUCCCCACUGCCUGAAGCACGAGUUGUAUCCCUACUAGGAAUGAAGGGUUGUCUCGUUGGAGCACGGUCUACCACUCUAGAUCCUGUGGAGACCUGAUUGUUGAAUGGAGCUGUGUUGGUUCUAGCUUGAUUUCGCACUUGGUAACUAACAGCAUUCCGCUCUUGUGACUCAAUGAGUUUAGCUAUCUCAACAAUAUCUGCAAGAUUCACUGGCCUACAGCGAACUACCUGGUCUCGAAGACUUCUUCUCAGUCCAUUGAGGAAUGCAGAUUCCAAUAUGUCAGAUGUGACAUGGGGUAAGUCGACUGUGAGCUCUUCAAAACGUUCUCUGUAUUCCUCCACGGUUCCUGUUUGUCUCACGUUGAGGAGAUGAUCCACAGCAGAACUGCCUCUGCUUGGUCGAAAACGUAACAUGAACUUUUCUUGAAAUUCCCUCCAGGUAUAGAUUUGUUCUCUGUCCUUAGAGCAGCGCCACCAUGUAACUGAUGCUCCUGUUAAACAAGACACAGCCUUUUCCAGUUUUUCUUCCUCUAGGGUGCGAUUGGAUAAGAAGCACUGUUCUAGCCGGAACAACCAAUCGUCGGCAUUGCCUCCUUCAUAAGCCGGAUAAUCCACAGUCCUACGCGGGGCUGCUUCAAACCGAGGUUGAUGUGGCGCAGAUUGAGGCGGAAACGUUUGUGUUUGGAAGGUUGGAGUAGUCUGAAACCCCGUGGAAGGAUUAGAUGGAAAACCUGAAGAUGAUGGAAGACCCGUGGAGGCAUUCAGCUGAAACCCUGGUGGUUCUAAUGGUGACGAGUGAAAGCGACGCGGUUCGAAGGGUGAAGCUGGAAGUCGAGGUAUCUCUGAAGUCGACGCCUGGUAUCGCGACUGGUCAAAGAGUAAGGGCCGAGGGUGUGUGUCCCGUUGAUUUGUGCCGGAAAACAGAGUCUCUCUGUUCUGUACCUCCAAGUGUUGAGGAUGAGAGGUGUAGACUGGUAACGCCGGAGCUGGAGAAGAAAAACGGACUCCUCUAUUCGGUCCUUCCAGAUGUUGUGGGUANNNNNNNNNNNNNNNNNNNNNNNNNNNNNNNNNNNNNNNNNNNNNNNNNNNNNNNNNNNNNNNNNNNNNNNNNNNNNNNNNNNNNNNNNNNNNNNNNNNNAGCUCUCUUUGGGCUUUCCGAAAAGGUAUCACAUGCCAAGUUUGGCUUCACGGUCUAAACCUUAUAGACUCAUACAUUUUUCACAAAAAAAAGAAGAGAAAAACAAAAAAAAAGAGUGAUUAAACACGAGGACUUUCCUGGAGGUCACCCAUCCUAGUACUACUCUCGCCCAAGCACUCUUAACUGCGAAGUUCUGAUGGGAUCUGGUGCAUUAGUGCUGGUAUGAACGCAUCUGUUACUACAUGCAAUGCAAUCGUAUGUAUUCUUUUUUGAAGAUUUUAUGAUUCAUUUACCGUGGGUCCCACCAGCUAUGUAGGAAUAACCUAUCUUAUUUAUAAAAGCUUUGAUACAUGCAAAAUAUUCGAAAACAAUGUCCGAACAUAUAAUGUUCGCCCCAAAAUAUAGCAAAGACCACAAAAAUGCCAUAAAAAGUACAUUAAGGUCAAAAUUUGGAGUAGGAAAAAAAUCAAUAGGAGAAUUCCAUUUUCCUUCCCUCAUUCAUCGGAGAGCUCUCUUUGGGCAUUCCAAAAAGGUAUCACAUGCCAAGUUUGGCCUCACGGUCUAAAAGUUAUAGAGUAUUACAUUUUUAACAAAAAAAAAAAGAGAAAAACCGAAAAAAAGAGGGAUGCAACACGAAGACUUUUCUGGAGGUCACCCAUCCUAGUACUACUCUCCCCCAAGCACGCUUAACUGUGGUGUUCUGAUAGGAUCAAGUGCAUUAGUGCUGGUAUGAUCGCAUCAGUUACUACAUGCAAUGCAAUCAUAUAUAUUCUUUUUUGAAGACUUUAUGAUCCAUUUGCCGUAGGUCCCACCAGCUAUGUAGGAAUACCCUAUCUUGUUUAUAAGAGCUUUGAUACAUGCAAAAUAUUCGAAAACAAUGUCCGAACAUAUAAUUUUUGUCCCGUAAUAUAGCAAAGAUCACGAAAAGGUCAGAAAAAAUAUAUUUCGGUCAAAAUUUGGAGUAGAAAAAAAGCCCUUCCUCAUUCAUUGGACAGCUCUCUUUGGGCUUUCCGAAAAGGUAUCACAUGCCAAGUUUGGCCUCACGGUCUAAACCUUAUAGACUCAUACAUUUUUCAUAAAAAAAAGAAGAGAAAAACAAAAAAAAAAAGAGUGAUUAAACACGAGGACUUUCCUGGAGGUCACCCAUCCUAGUACUACUCUCGCCCAAGCACGCUUAACUACGAAGUUCCGAUGGGAUCUGAUGCAUUAGUGCUGGUAUGAUCGCAUCUGUUACUACAUGCAAUGCAAUCGUAUCUAUUCUUUUUUGAAGAUUUUAUGAUUCAUUUACUGUGGGUCCCACCAGCUAUGUAGGAAUAACCUAUCUUAUUUAUAAAAGCUUUGAUACAUGCAAAAUAUUGGAAAACAAUGUCCGAACAUAUAAUGUUCGCCCCAAAAUAUAGCAAAGACCACAAAAAUGCCAUAAAAAGUACAUUAAGGUCAAAAUUUGGAGUAGGAAAAAAAUCAAUAGGAGAAUUCCAUUUUCCUUCCCUCAUUCAUCGGAGAGCUCUCUUUGGGCAUUCCAAAAAGGUAUCACAUGCCAAGUUUGGCCUCACGGUCUAAAAGUUAUAGAGUAAUACAUUUUUAACAAAAAAAAAAAAGAAAAAAACCGAAAACAAAGAGGGAUGCAACACGAAGACUUUCCUGGAGGUCACCCAUCCUAGUACUACUCUCACCCAAGCACACUUAACUGUGGUGUUCUGAUAGGAUCAAGUGCAUUAGUGCUGGUAUGAUCGCAUCAGUUACUACAUGCAAUGCAAUCGUAUCUAUUAUUUUUUGAAGACUUUAUGAUCCAUUUGCCGUGGGUCCCACCAGCUAUGUAGGAAUACCCUAUCUUGUUUAUAAGAGCUUUGAUACAUCCAAAAUAUUCGAAAACAAUGUUGGAACGUAUAAGUUUUGCCCAGUAAUAUAGCAAAGAUCACGAAAAGGCCACAAAAAGUACAUUAAGGUAAAAAUUUAGAGUAGGAAACAAAAACAAUAGGAGAAUUCCAUUUUCCUUCCUCAAUCAUCGGAGAGUUCUUUUUGGGCUUUCCAAAAAGGUAUCACAUGCCAAGUUUGGCCUCACGGUCUAAAAGUUAUAGAGUAAUACAUUUUUAACAAAAAAAAAAAGAAAAAAACCGAAAACAAAGAGGGAUGCAACACGAAGACUUUCCUGGAGGUCACCUAUCCUAGUACUACUCUCGCCCAAGCACACUUAACUGUGGUGUUCUGAUAGGAUCAAGUGCAUUAGUGCUGGUAUGAUCGCAUCAGUUACUACAUGCAAUGCAAUCGUAUCUAUUAUUUUUUGAAGACUUUAUGAUCCAUUUGCCGUGGGUCCCACCAGCUAUGUAGGAAUACCCAAUCUUGUUUAUAAGAGCUUUGAUACAUCCAAAAUAUUCGAAAACAAUGUUGGAACGUAUAAGUUUUGCCCAGUAAUAUAGCAAAGAUCACGAAAAGGCCACAAAAAGUACAUUAAGGUAAAAAUUUAGAGUAGGAAACAAAAACAAUAGGAGAAUUCCAUUUUCCUUCCUCAAUCAUCGGAGAGUUCUUUUUGGGCUUUCCAAAAAGGUAUCACAUGCCAAGUUUGGCCUCACGGUCUAAAAGUUAUAGAGUCAUACAUUUUUAACAAAAAAGAGGGAUUUAACACGAGGACUUUCCGAGAGGUAACCCAUCCUAGUAGUACACUCGCCCAAGCACCCUUAACUACGGAGUUCUAAUGGGAUACGGUGCAUUAGUGCUCGUAUGAUCGCAU